Molecule: long non-coding RNA, 46550 nt
Filed under: Elaeis guineensis (African oil palm)
Lineage: Eukaryota; Viridiplantae; Streptophyta; Magnoliopsida; Arecales; Arecaceae
Description: long non-coding RNA (EGUI_LNC007102)
Source: RNAcentral
UGCUUUCCUCAUAAAUAUAUAUCUGUUAUAGACAUUCUACAAAUCAGGCCAUCUAUGCAAUCCUGCAAAGUAUUUUUUCCUGCUGAUCUAGUUUAUGCCAAAAGACUUAUGUAUAGACCUCUAAUAUGGAGAUUCUUGCUAAGCAGACUAUUUGCAAAUAUCGAGAUUACAAUGCCAAGAGCAAGGUAUUUCAUAAAUUGAGGGUACAUAAUUCUGCGUUCUGGCCAUGCAAUCCCCAUGCUUUCUUCCUUACUCUCUCUUCUCCCCUCUCUACCUCCUAUCUUUUCUCACGUACCUUUGAUAAGUCAGAGAUCAGAUCAGAUCUUUAGUCCUGAAGGACCCUCUUAAUCCAACCGAAAGAAUCAUGAACCAGACCUUGAGGUUUUUUUUUUAAUUUUUUCUUUCCCCAAACUGAACCCUGUUUCAUGAUGUUGAAGAACCUAAAGGAGUAUAGGCAGCUUUUGCUUCCCUCUAAAGCAAAAUUGGAAAAAUCAGUUGGUUGACCUGUAACUUGGCUCAAGCCGAGUCAUUUUCCAAGGCUAGAGGGUCAAAAUUCUUGGUUAGAUUAAGAGAAACAUGUCUUGAUUGAAUCUACCUGAGUCUAACACGACUUGGAUAACUUAGCAAGUCAAAAACACACACACACACACAGAGCAGGGGUGCUAUCAGGUUGGCUCAGGACUUGGUCCAGGUAGAAUAAAGUUGGAACUAGGUUGGAUCAACCGAUCAAGUACAGAUAGGGUCCAGGACUUGGUUGGAUUGGAACUAGGUCCAGGCCUUAAGCGUGUAUAAUUUGGAAGGUUUAAUUCUCUUCAUGCCCUCAAAACUAUUCACUAAUAACAUAGACUCGAAAUAAUUAAUCAAUUUUAUGAAAAAUGUAUGUGAUUUAAGGUGAAAAUAUACAUUUGCAUACUGGGUAAACUAAGUCCAGAUCGGGUCCAGUUGGUUUAUAAGAGAUCAAAUCCUCACUUUACCAUAAUAUGAUCAGAUUGGGUCAACUAAAAUUAAAAUAAACCCAUACCUGAAGCCAAGAAGUUAUAUGGGUUUUCUUACCCAAAGAAGAAGAAGUUGUAUGGGUUUACCUUUGGUCCUAUACACAGAUCAGGUUCAUGCCAGUUAUGGUUCUUAGUGACAACCCUCGAUCCUUUCCUCCUAUAUAGUGAAAUGAUGCCUCUACUUGAUAGGUACGAGCUUUUCUUCUUUCCAUUAACUAAACAAGUAAAGAUGACUUCAGCAUUCAUCAAAUCAAGCAUAUACAUGUUUUACUCCCACCAAUUUUUAUGUGAUUCACAAAUGUUAAUUCUAAGAUUAUUGCAGAUGAUAAUAACUUGCAUAUAUAAUUCUAAUAUACAUAGUACAGGUGAUUUAAGUGGCUCUAUUAUUUGAACUUUAUUUUAUUUAAAAAUAACAACAUAUGUAGUGAUUUAUGCCAUUAAUCAAAUUAGAUUAUGGACAAUUCAUAUUCAUAGUCAUUCUCUCAGGCCAGAUGUGGUUCGAGGAUAGUGGAAUGGGGCUAAUGGGUCGGCUGGAAUUCUUUUGGGGAAAUUAACAAACGGUUAACUGGGUUAAAGCUAUUCCACCAUUUUGGUGGAAUAAUUUUGACCAAGUUAGCCCAGGUAGACAGGUUAGAUAAAGCAAAUAGUGGCUAAGCAAGUUUUCUGAAAUAUACAUUUUGCCCUCAUCCAGAAUGCUCUAACCCAGUGAGCAAAAGUAACAUUUGGAUGAAUAAGUGGGAUAAGAAGCCCUUACCAUGUGGUCACCCUGAAUUAAAUGGGCCCUAAUAGGUUCCAGCUAUCGCCUGAGAAUAUAAUGCAAGAAUUGAAAACUGUUGUCAAUAACCCAACAUAAACAUAGCAUGAUAACCAACUACCAAUACACAGUUCACGCUGCAAGUAUUUUUUGUGCUCUACAAGUAAAUGAGACAUGGUUGGUUGUCAUAUCAUCAAGAAAAGAUGGAGGAUAAGCAAAUAUCUGCUCCAUUUGUCAAGAAACAGACCCAUGUCACUGUUAUCAUGGAGCUUCUUGGGUGCUGUCAGCAUCAUACUAAACGAUCCAAGCAACAUAUGGAAAUGCAUGUGCUCCAACUCAAGGUGCAAAAUCAAAGUAGAAAGUAAUCCUGUGCUUUAGUUUAACAAUUUUGAUAAUUUUGGACCUGUUUUAUAGACUUAACAAGCAUGUAACACCUUAUAUUUGACCAACCCUUAAACUAUGGUUUAGAUAGCUAUAAUUAUUUAUUUGAAAUUGUACUUUGAUAUAAUGCUCUAAGUUGUCUUUUAGAAUUCUGGUAGAUCUUUUGUUAAGAUGCCAUGACUAAAGUAAUCAUUGCCAUACUCAAUAUAGAUUGUAAGUUAUCUUAAUUUAGAUUUACUUUUUACCAUAUUGUAAAUGUUCAUGAGUUCAACUCUAGAUAGGCGGAAUGAAGCUAAAGGUUGAGAACAUGAUGAGUAAAAAUUCACAACAUUUUGCCAUGCCAAAGGCAGUCUAGUGAUAUUCACUCAAAAGGAGGAAGAAGGAACAUUUUUUUUUUUUAAUCAGAAGUUAAUUUAAAAAUUAGACAGAAAGAUCAUAAGUAAUUGCAGCAUAAUCAAUACAACUAAGAAAUGAAUCAUUGCAAAGUCAAAACAGAUAGAAAGUUGGACCUACCACUCAAGCAUAAGUAUUUAACGUGAUGCAUACCUGAUUCCAAGUUGCAAGUUAAGCAUCAGAUAAUAGCUUUUGUGACCUUUGUGAAUAGCUUCACCUGGCCCUCUUGGUUGUUUUCUUCGAAUCUUAUGGUGACAUUUUUUUGUGUGUUUUACACCAGAAUCAGAACUUCUUGCUCUUUCCAUUAUUAACACUCCUUGCACAUACUCCCUUUCAUAAACCAAAACAUUGUCAUGCUGGAGCUUAUGCGGACCAUCGUCAGAUGAAGAGGACAAUGUGAGGGAACUGUCUUGUGACAAAACGCUACAAGCAGAAUCACCAAAAUUCCAAAUUCCAUCAAAUGACGUAGGCCUAUGGGAGAUUCGUCCAGAAUGACAGAAAUAACUACUUAUAUUCCAUCCAUCAAGACUGUAUCUUUUCUUAUGCAAUGGUUUAUUCCUGAGUCCUUCAGAACUCAUCAGUGAAGCAGUACAAAGACUUUGAGCUCCAUCAUUACAUACCACAGAUUCAGAAAACUUCUGCUUAGGUAGUUUGCUUCCAGCUGGAUAAAAAGUUCCUCGCCCAUCCUUUAGGCCCCUACUCCAUGUUCCAAAAUAAUAUGCCCCAUCUGCAUACUUGUAGUAACCUGAGCCAUGUUCUAAUCCAUCCAACCAAACACCAUCAAAUAAAUCACCAUUUGCCCAUUUCAUAACUCCUCUGCCAUUCAUUUUUCCAGCUUUCCAGUUUCCAAUAUAAGUGUUUCCACUACUCCAUGUAUAUCUACCAAUACCUUCUUGCAAUCCUUCCCUCCAAAGACCCUCAUAAAUAUCCGAAUUAGGAUAUGUUUUAGUUCCCAUUCCAUGCUGUAUGUUCAUCCUCCAAGACCCUUUGUAAACAGAACCACCAGGUCCAUAAAAAGUGCCAGAACCAUGAAGGAAACCUCCACAGAUGUCACCUUCGUAUGUGGCCCCAGCUGGCCAGUAAAUCCGUCCUCUGCCAGUCAUUUUGCUUUUCUCCCAUUCUCCCUCAUAAAGUGUUCCAUCUGACCAUAUAUAUUUUCCUGUCCCAUGAGGAAGUAAUCCAUCAAGGUUUCCAACAUAGACAUCACCAUUAGCAAGGACCUCCUCACAAUGCCUAGUAAAUAAACGACAAUCAGGAUCUCAACAAAGAAGAAGCAAUUAUAAGCCUAUUGACCUCAUAUUAAUAGACUGUUUUUUUGCAGGGAAGGCUACAUACAACACAUACUGAUAAAGCUGCAUAUAUAAGGAAAGAUGUGUAAGUUCACCUUUCACUGUUCUCACAGCUCCCCUCCAUACCUGUCUUGUCUUGAUGCAUGAUUAUUCAUAGAUGAGAUCAAAACAAGGAAGCAGUUCUUACACCACCUACAUAUGACAGCAACAAACCCAGAAUUCCACCAAUGAACCACUGCAAGUACAAGAACAAUGUUCAAAAUAGAAAUAAACAAAUGAAGAGGGAUAGUCAAAUUUUUAUUUCUUAAAGUUCUCGUGCAGUAGACGCUCAUCUAUGUUUUUGAUUGAACUUUUGUGGAACUAAAAGGGAAAUGUCUAUAAGAUGCAUAUAUUGUCUGUCCUGAUUGUGGGUAUAGGCAGAGGUUUGCAGAUGACUUAGGGCUCAGUUUUCAACAUAAGCAACUGCACAUAUACAUGUGCCUGAUUUGACCAGCCAAAACGACCACUAUUUGGGGGGAAAAAGAAGAAAGGGUUAAUCAACUGAAAGCUACGGCAAUUUAAGUGACAAUUUUACAUGGUUGAGUAAAAUAAAGUCCCUUUAUGUUUAACCAUUUACAAAGAGGACAUUUGGAUGCACUACCAUGGUGUCCCUAUAAUAUCCUAUAAUAUUAUAGAUGGGAAACAUAUAUUUAACCCUUCAUCCAAUGGAAUAUAAAGUAGGAGGUCUGGAGAGGACGUUGAAACUUCAAUCCCAAGAUUUUUCCAUACAUCAUAACCCAUUUUUUAUUAAGCAUGAUAUCCUAUUUAUGGUUGUGGUAGCAGAGUCCAACUCCAACUCGAUAAGAUGAAAGCUACCUCCUCUAUGAUAUGAUUCAAGGUCACUCCCUACAUAUACAUGAUAUCUCACAGAUAUCACAGUUGAGCAUUUACACACUUCCUUACCCUUCUCAUUAGGCAUAGUUUCUUUCCUCUAGGAGAAAUUCUAAACACAUAGAGGCUAAUAUCAUCUUGGCACUCCAUCAAGGGAGCAGUAAGUAAAAAAAGGAAAAAGAGAAUACAAUAUUCUAUAAAAGCCAUUCCAAUCUAGAGCAUCCUCUUCCAAUAAAUUAUCAGGCUUUUCAUUGUCUACAAUUUUCCCAUUCAUAUGUUUCAGUCUCAUAGUUCGCACAUUGAAGAAAAUGACAUGAUCCAAUAAAUUGCCAGAGUUAACAGAUUCAUCAUCAUAUCCACCACCAGCCUCCACCGGAGAAACGUGCGUCGUAUUCGAACUAGUAAUUCUUCUUCUCAAUACAAUUGCUCUAGCACGCAUUCACCAAGACAUUAUCCAACCACAGAUGAAACGCAACAACACUGACAUAUUACGAAAACAGAUCUCUAUAACUACUAAACAAAAGACGAAGAAGAACAAAAAGAUCGUUUCCUCCAAUCAAACCCUAAAGCACCAAUUCCUACACUACCUUCUCCCAACAAAUGAUACACCCAUCCAAUCUUCAUCAAUUUGCGCCCGCCCCUACGGGCACGAGGCAGUCGAAGCUUCGAUUUUAACCAAACUCCCUAAAAUUUAUGCAUUGAUGCUAAAUAUUCUCCAACUCAAGAACUCAGAGAGACCGUCAAAUUUAAACAAUUCCAAAAGAAAUAAAGCGAACGUACCUGUUUGCAGCCUCGCAGCAGCUCAGAAACAAAUCCAACGCCGACCCUUUUGUGGACGCUACCUCCGAGAUAAAUCAAUACCUACAAGUUUAUUAAAAUUAGAAGCAUUGAGAUUCCACUAGAUAGAGGUCUUGAAGUGGAUAGCUGUCGCUGUUCCCCGCCGAGAGAGAGAAAGAACGAUUCCCUGAGAAGCAGGGAAGGAGGAAGGGCGAGGAGUGGAGAGGAGAGGGUGGUGGCGGUGGAGCUGAGAUCACGUCACCGACCAGAGCGAGACUUUUCGGGCUUCAAUCGGUUCGGAUUUAAAUAUAAGGCGUUGGCCCGUCUGGUGAUCCCCACGUCGGAUUCCAACUCUCGUUUUUAUUUUCCUCCUUCCUUGCAGUAGUUUUGUCCGUUUCAACCACUUCAGUCCUCUUUCCUUCUCUCUUUCGGUUGGUGCCUUCCCACUACUCCCUUUAUUCCGUUCACCCGAUCUCGUCAUCUUCCCUCUUUUAUCUUGUUGUAGCCUGGCUUCUUUAUUGUUAUUAUUAUAGAAAAGUAUUCGUGAAACUUUUAUCGUCAGUGCGGUGCGAAUUGGGUACUCGUGGGGGAGAAGGAAGCUUUUACUUUUAAUCAGGCAGCAAAGCGCAAGGUCAGUGGAUCACUCUAUGACACUUAACGAGACUUGGUGCUUCUCACCUUUUUUUUUCCCUGGGUUUGGUUCGUUUUCUCCCAACUUGUUUCCCAUUUGGUCGUUUUCGAGCUAGCCGAGCUGCAAAAGACACCGGAGGCGGAGAAGUUAAAGAGGCAAAUCUGGAUAAAAUUUGCGUAUGACGGUAUUCGUUCAACUUUUUGAUCCUUACGUUGUCUUUUCGCAACGAGAAGGAUACCCGUAGACAUUACCGUACAUAAAAGUUUGCUGUGCUCUUCGUUCUUCGCCAACGCAAUAUUUAAUCGUUCUUAUAUAUUAUAUAAAAACUUGCACUAACUUUCCACCACUUUAACGCCACAUGGCAUGAAAAAAAAAAUGUUAAAUGCCCCGAGCCUUACUCUUGGAGGAGUUUGCUAUUUGUGAUGCCAUCAUAAUGUCAUAGUUAAUGAUGAUUUCUUUUUUUUCAUUCAAAAUUUUGAACUAAAUUUAGAUAAUAAUAAUUAUUUUUUCAUUCAAAAUCCUAAUAAUAAUUUUUAUUGAAUUUUUUAAUCAAAAUAAAUGGUAUGAUGAUUUUUUAUUAGAUGAUCUAAAGUGAACAGUUUUAAUCAAUAAUUUUUCUUGUUUAACCCCAAUAAAAGAGAGCACUUGAAGGUCUAAAAAGAUCCUACUUAUAUAUGUGGCAAAGUAUAGAUUAAUAUAAUGCAUGAAAUUUAAUUCAAUAAAGCGUAUGAUGUUAACAACUCGAGAUGGAGCAUCUAAUUUCCUGUGUUGGAUAUUGAUUGCAAGACUUUAAAACAGAUUUGCUUGCUAAAAAUAAUGCAAACUCAAGUGCUAGUUUUUUUAUCUUCUAUCCAAAUCUAGUUCAAAGAUAAGAUUCUGAUGCCCUGACCACUGCCAUAUUGUUAUUUGUGGAGCUGUCAACUCAAACAUAACCUAGUAGUAGAUUGUCUAAAGAGGCGAAUAUUUUUUUUAUUUUUGAUUUUGAAAAAAGGUGAAUGUUUACAUGGUAAGCCGUCUGCUCUACAACAUAGAUGGCAGGCACUUAGAGCUCGAUGAGACCUUAGUUGGUUUUUUUUCCGGUAUUGGAUCUUUGCAUGGACCGUAAUUGUAGAACCAACAAACCUGUCAUGAAACUUACAGACACCAGGGAAUUGGACAGCCUGUUCUGUCCCCCAAAAAAAACAAAAAAUGCUGCUACUCCGGAAAAGUAAAUAUUUUGUUCAAGUAGAUGGAUAUUUUACGGGUAGGCGGCACUCCAAAAAGGGCACGCACUUGUAUCGUUGACUGCAAAGCAAAUGGGCCCACGCCAGCAAAUAGCAGCAUCGGCCGCCGAUCGAAUCAUGGACCAGGACCACCGGUCCCCUGUUCCCCUCCUUGGCUUCCACCCUGGAACUCAAUAAUAAGAGCACCAUACCACGGUUUAAUUCCUCUAUCUAAAACAGCGGCCACGGUGCAACAGCCAUGAUAACGAUUCGGGGACACUCGGUUAAGUCUAUAUUGUAUAUCAUUAUACCGUGCAUCAGGUUAAGAGUAAUGCUGUGUGGCUCUUCCUAUAUACACGUAACUCAUUUUCUUGCCAGGUGGUAAAACGGAAAUAGUGUAAUUUGAGAAUUUAUUACCCAACACAAUAGGUUGGUUAAUUAUAGAGUAGCCAAAUUAGCAGUUGUAAAAGUGAUGAACUUUUAAUAUUCAAAUAAUGGGCAAGGUAUCUGGUUACUGAAUAGAAAUUGUUCGGUCACUGUUAUGUAACACAACAGAAACAACUUCUAAUUUUUCUAUUGUUCAAUAAAGUAAAAUCUAUUUUUUUUAUUCCCAUCGUAUCCAACCUCCAGAACUCGAAAGAACUGUUAUUUUUUGAGCUCCAUCAUUGUCCUGCACAUCCUUUUAUAAUGGCUGAUAAUGGCCAUUAUGAUGGCCAUUAUUUUACUUGAACGUAUCCAGAAAUAUGUCACCCUCUCACACUCUCUCGCAACAUGAAGAUAGGCUGUCCAGGCUAAAGAAAAUGCAGCCAAAAACAUCCACGCUACCAACAUGAUGUGCUGCUCACCAUAGUGACAUGAAGAUCUCUCAUUCAAGAAGGUGGAGCCCUUGAAUCCAAUGGGACAUCCACAGUGUUGCAUCCGUCCUAAUCAAUGGGGUCUUCUGGAUGGAUGCUUCAAGACAACAUGGUCCUGAAAGGCUUCCGGGUUUCAUCGUUUGUGCCACACUAGCGGAAAAAGCGAGACAUCAAGAAACCCGCCCAUGCCUUCAGAUAGCUCCAUUGCUGCCGGCCAUGAGAAAAUUGGACCUGGGAGGUCUAGAUUCACCAGAAACAAAAAAGCGAGACAUUAAGAAGCCAGUCCGUGCCUUCAGAUAGCUCCACUGCUGCCGGCCAUGAGAAAAUUGGACCUGGGAGGUCUAGAUUCACCAGAAACACCAAGCAUUGCACGGAUCACAUCCACAGAAAGCAAAAAUUUACCUCCAUUGCAGGGCUGAGCGGAGUGGAUAUUAGAGUUGAAUUCACGUCAUAAAGCAAGAGGAUGGUAGAAACUUGAAACACUUGGUGCACUCAAAAAGGGAACACGAAUCAAAACAAAAAUCACAACCUAUCAUCCAUUAUGAUAGCCUGCAUGGUAGCUAACAAGCACUUUCUGUAACGUUUAUGCUAUGAGUAAACUUUGCGUUCAAACUCUUCUGUAGCACCGGCUCAGAGUGUAGACACCCAUUUAGAACUCUCACGUUUUUUAAGAAGAUCAUCAGUAAUGAUAAAAUUUGAUACCAGAACCAAGAAUUAACUCCAACUCAUGCAACCCAAACUCUGAGAUGCUCCCACCUUGAACAAAUGCUUUUCCACGGACAUGGGUGGUAGGGUGUUUAGGGAAGGAUCAAGAUUAUAAGAUGCGGAACUUUGGUGAUUAUUUCAAUGCAUAUGUCAAUAUGGCACAUUUAAAUAAACUUGUAAUUUCUGAAGUAAAGAGCACUCUGAAUACUCUUCACUAAAAUCUUGGGUCUUAACAAGAGUUCUUAAGAACCGACGUGAUGGCAGAACUCUAGACAGCAAUAGAAUGCAUAGCACAAGGCUCCAUACAAGUGAACUCUUGUAAAAGAAACUAGGAAUGCAAAGCAGCAGCAAAGCAAAAGAAAAUAUGAGAUAUACGAUUUAAUGGAAAUCUUACAACAAUAGUUCACAAGUUGCUUGAUAAAUUUAUAACUAAGCGGGAAACAAGACGCAUCUCAUUCACUUUAUUCCCGUGACAGGUACCGGCCCAACAAAGACCCAUUAUAGAAAUUUCACUUAAAACACAAGUGCAAAACAUUUUUGGCAAUCUAUUACUUCAAACCAAUUGCAAACGACAACUUGGGACGAGACUUGUUCUUACCCAGCAGCUUUAACUGGUUUGUCUUUUCUUCUUCUUCUUCCAUUUUUUUUCUUCGCAUAGCUUCUUCCCUUUCUUUCUGGAGCCGCUCUAGCUCCUGAUAACGCUCUAACUCCUUCUGCUGCUGUUCCAAGGCUUCUCUCCUUUGAGCCUCCUCCACCCUCCUCCGAUUCUCCUCAAGCAUCUUAUCCAACUCCUCCCUCUCUCUCCGUUCUUGUUCCUGCAAGCCCCAAUCAAAGCACAUCCAACAACCAAAUGACAAGUUUAGAGAAAGAAGAAAGCAGCUUCUGAAGAAGCUAGUCAAUCCAUAAAAAAAAAUUACAUGAACUAUUAAUUUUUCAGAUCACAAGAUACAAAGCCUAAUAUUCUGUUAUCAAUAUUUGUAUAUAGAUAUAAGAAUUAAAACAUGUGCAUGCGGACCAAGAGCAAGCAGGAACUAAUUUAGAGGCAUGCACAAAUUAACACAUGUGCCAGCUGAUUACAACUUAUUCAGAGCCUGUAUAAAGUUGAUAUAUGCAUUUCACGCCCACCAAAUAUUCUAACAAAGAUCAUUACAAAAUUUAAAGUGUGUUUAUAUGUAAAGUCAGGAAGUGCACAACCAAGGUUAAGUUCAUACAAAAUACUUACCGCUUUCUGCCUGGCUUCAAUAAGAACUGCUUCCUUUUCCUUCUGAAGUUGGGUGGCAACCUCAUCCAGUAGCUUCUUUCGACCUUCAUCAAUCCGUCUUUGUAUUUCUUGCUUGAUCUCCUCAGAAUUCAAACUUUCUUCAACCUUUUUCCUAAUAGCCUCUUCAAUCCUCCUAGCAGUUUCCUCUUCUAAUAGUUUUAGUUCUGCCUCCUUUUGACGCCUGUUAGGACAAGCCACAUGUUAGACAAAGAACUGCCCUUCACUAAAUUAAUGCUGACAUAAAUGUGGAAACAUAUCAUUGAGGCCAGAUGAAGAGCCAUACUAUAUCAGCAAACAGUAUGAUGAGCUUUGAUUAUCAUGACCAGCUAAGCCUUCCUUUCCAUCAUCAUAAUAUUAAAUACAAGCUUAUGCAUUUCAGGCAUACCUCUAAAGAUUCCACAUCCAAACAAAUGAGUUUUCAAACUGGAGAACAGUAGAUAAAGGAGGCACCAAGUGCAUCAUCAAUAUAUAACAAGUUGAACUAUAGCAGUAGCCUCCUUCAGAAAAGCCAGUGGAGAAGAAUGUCAAGUAACCUGUGGCAGGUUUAAAACUAAUCAUUUAAACACUUCAAUUCUCACAUUAAAGCACAGUUCUCGCACUAUCAAAUUCUAACUAAAAUGCAAAGCACAGACAACUGGAUGUGGCAUCUGCUUGCUUGUGGCACAAAAUGAUGAUAGCUAAAAAUGUCAGCUGUUUACUACAUAUGACAGGAAAACAAGAACCACUGUCCCAGUGACACUGAACAAUUCUAUCAUAUCACUAUCUACAGGCAGCCAAAAACUAAAUUCUGAACUGCCCCAACAACACAUAGACAAGCAACUUAUAAUUUCAUAAUAUGAUUGUUCAGGAGUAACUCUUGUUCCAGUUUAACUGUUUGUCAAACCCCCACCCAGCAAUGCAUUUCCCUCUUACUUAACAUAAAAUGUGUAGUUUGAAAGGACAAAAUUUAGUCCCUGAAGCAACGCAUUUUAGAAGCUUAAACUCAGUUAAGGUUUUCUACUUGUGAAAUGUUAACCAACAACAGUCCAAAUAAUUAUUUCAUGUGUUUCAAUGCAAGCAUUUCCACACAAAUAAAGAUGACACAUCGCCAAAUUACUUGUCUUUCCCAAAUGAUGCAAAGACAUUACUUCCCAUUCUUCCUUGCAGUCUCUCAGGUUUACUGGCACCUGAUUUCAGGUCUCUUUACUCUUCAUCUAUCCUGCAGUAAUAAAUGAUAUGCAUGCAGUUGAAUGGGUUCUUAAAAUAGGAGGUCCAACAAGAAAUUAGAAUAAACCUCAUUUCUUGGGAUCACCAAUAGGUAAGCUCCUUUAUUCCCACUUCACAGUUUUGUUUUUUCGUCAUUAUCCUCUACCACUCCUGAUUAGAAAGCUCCAGUCCAAUUGCUUCUUUGCCAAGACAAGCCCACCCUUACUAAUAUCUCCAUACUAUUGCAAGUAAUAUGAGAAAUCACUUGACCAAUGUCAUCGAUAAUGACCUACAAGAAACCCCCAUAGCACUUGUGCAGCACCUGUUUGCAUAAAAGGAUUUCUUAAAAAUUUAGUUAGACAAUGCAUGUCAAAAACAGCUGCUUUCUGAUUUUGCCUAGUUCUACAUGGAAUCAGCAGAUUUUAUAAACCAAAAGGUGCACCCCAGACCUGAACCAAAAAAUAUAUCCGAGUCCAUAAUUCCCAUUACAAAUUGUGAUAGUUUAACCAAUUGCAAAAGCAAAAAAGUUUUAGGAAUAUGCAAGACUUUGUACAGAGAUCUAUCAAGAUCCAUUAAGAAAAGAAUUUACCAAAACCCCAAAUUAUUAGUGCACCUGAUAUACCUUUCAAAAGCUUUCUUUAGCAAUAUCUAAAGAAGGGAUAACUGCUAAUUAGAAAAUACACAUGAUGAUCAAUGCUCCCAAAUCCUUGCAACUUAGAAAACUCAUUAAUCAAGAAUUUGAACGAAACUGCCAUCAUGGUUGACGACUACACGACCGCCAAGAAAGAAUGUACUGGUGAAACAAUAUGGACCGCUGUACAAACAGUUCGGCUUAUGAAAUUAUUAAUAAACCAAGCUCUUGUUCCAUUCUUUGUCCAGUUUCCAACCAAACAGUUGGAAAGUAUUUAUUCUUAGGACUCUGUAAAUGAAUAAACCAAUGCAAGGUAGGAUACAUAGAAACAGCUUAAAGUAACAGGGUAAACCAAACCAAGAGUCAAUUUUAAGUUCAUUAUUGAUGGACAAUGUACUCUGCCCUGACAUAGCAUUUCUUUCUUUUUUUUUGAUAGGUCAUAGUGUUUCUUUCUUUUACAGGGCAAGCCAGAGGCCUGAUCUGAAAGUGUAAGAACCAGGCUAGAUGCGGCUUAAUAUCUGGAUCAUUGGCACCCCCAGUAUAAUCUCUUAUUAACUGUUUAGGUUCACAAGUUAUUCAAUUACGUCAAAGUUGUAAUUAGCAUUAUGGCGAUCUUUGGGGUUGCAAUGCUAAAAGACUUCACCACAAAUUACAGUGUCUUGUUUCCAGGGUUCAGAUGCAGUUAAACUUUUUUUGCAUGUCAUAUCUCCUCUGUACACUUCCACCAUCGAAGACAUAAGUUGCCAUUGUCAGACUUUCUGCUAACAAUUACAACCAGGACUUCACAACCUCAAAAUUAAGACCUCAUGAAUUCCUUCCUUAGCAAGAGGUGAAUACCAAUCUAUUUCCAAUGAUAGCAGCAGUGAACAAUGCCUUUAUGAUUAAUUGAGCACCUACUGCAGUUGCAGUAAUGAGGCAGGGGGAGGAGGGCUAAUGCAGUCUGUUAACUGGAAGGGCUUGCAAAGUGAUGGCCAAUAGAAAAGGACAACAGCUAGAGGGAGAAUGAAUUGACAAAUAAUGGAGACUGAAGAAGAAAUAACAUAACAUACAGAUUUCCAUAGACAACCAUAGUCAAGGUUCGCCAAACCGGUGCCAGAGGGGAUACCGGCUAGCAGCUAGUUGGGCACGGUAUGGGUCUGUACCAUGAUAUUCCAGGGCAAAUACCGAAAUAGAAAGAGUCGAAGAGGGAGGGGGAGAGGCUUGAAAGCCUUUUAGGGGAGAGAGAGGGAAAGGGAAGCUUAAUGGUGAUGCUAGUGGUAGAGGGGGACAUGGGGGGUUUUAAUCAAAUGGUCAAGCCAGAGGGCCUUUUAACCAAGCUAACCAAAUUAGAGCCAGUUCAACCUAUUUACCAAGCCGACAAGGCAAACCAUUCUGGCUCCCCGUCUGUUUGGUUCAAUACGCACUAAACCAGGCGAUACAACCAACCAUGACCCUAGUUAAUGAAAACAACUUACCAAAAGCACAUUAGAGUUGAGAUUCAUUCAGAAACAAAAAACACAAAUAAUCCAACAAAUAAAUUCAUGAAAUUGAUUGAAAAAAGUAGAAAAUUUACUGGAGCAAAGCUAUCAGGGUGCAUAAGUGACAUGAACAUAAUAGGAAAAAUCAUAUCCAAACAAUUUUUAAUUGGAUCAAUCAAAGAGGUCAUUUGGCUGGUAAAAACCACCAAAGGCUCAAAAUAAAAACCUAAAACCACUUUUGAGUAUUCAUCACCAUAUCUACAUCUUUGAUAAUAUUUACAUUGCAGAUGGCUGAAAAUAGUGCUGCGGCCACAAUCACGGAGGCAAGAUGGACAAAGAGAGUAGAGCUUUAUAAAGUAUAAUCAUAAAUUAAAGCAAAACUUCAAACAGCAUUCUAGAAAAACUAAUCAAAACCGAGUACCAUGGUCAUUUAUGAUAUGUCACCAGACUCUACCAGACAUACCACACUAUAAAGGGAAUAUCCAAAGAACCAAACUCGGGGAAGAACCUUAACCAUAGACAAUGUGCUUUUAUCAUAACAGGUCACCAGAAGUGCAACAUUGAGCUCACAAAGAGUUUCGAGUUCUAGUAAUUAGUAAAAUAAAUGGCAAAAAUUAGAAUUAGGACUUAAUGCAAUCUAUCGAUCAUCAAAGCAAUAUCCCAAAAUACAAAAUAGGCCAAAGGAGAUGUAGUCAAACACUAUACCUUCCAAUAAUUGUACUAUUCUUUGUAUAUGUUUAAUAUGGCUCAUAUUUGAGCCAAACAGGACUUGACCAGUCAGCCUGAGGUUGGAUAGCUUUGGGUAGCAGUGACCAAGCAGACAAGCUGAGGACUUUUUUUCUUCAGAUUAUGGUUGAGGAAAGGAGCUCUAGGUAUCAAACUAAAGUCAGCGAAAAUUGAAAAGUGAUGCUCAAUUCACAAUUUAGUUUCCCUUUUAAAAUCAAUGUCUUUACUAAAAUUUCAAGGCAGAUGACAAGCACCCUGCCUUCGGUGGGGCAGUCCCCUUGAUGCCUUUUCCAGUGCAUAAAGAGGCCUAACACACUUAAGCAGCUGCCUAGACAACCUGCUCAACUUAUGUUGUGUGCGGGAUACCCUGACCAGGCAGGUCAAGCAUGAAUAAGCACUACGGCAGAUUGAGCACAGUAACUAAAGGAAGCACAGGGCUUAGGUGGGCUACAGAUAGUCAGGGUGUGGAAUCUUGUUGGUUGGGCAUGGGUAGAAUUAUGUUGUUUCUUAUUGUUGCCAGCUUCUUUCUAGGGUGGCUUCAUAGAGUUCAUAGAUUUGAAACCUUCUAAGAUUUCUAUUUGUAACAGCAAAUUCACAACGCCUUGUUCUUAUUUUCAGACUACUGUUAUUAUGAGGCUUUGAAAUGCUUACACAUCCUCUGCCUUCCAAAUAAAUAUGAAGAUAUCUAUGUUCCACAUGGCGGAACAGAAUGUUACAUAGCAUCAAAAAUUGCUUGUUGGUGUGAUUCCUAAAUCAAAGCUGACCAAUAAAUGACCACCAUGAGGCCACUACACCACCCAAAUCAAGCCGAAUCAGGCCCUAACUAACCUGGUCAGAACCAACCUAACAGAGCUCGCCACUUGGCCCCUCACUCCACAGGCAGUUAAGAACCGACCAACAGAAGGCCGUUCCAGCUUGGUCCACUACUCAAUAUCUUCAUGUUAAGAUUGAAAGUCAAACAGUUGAGAUCCAAGAUUAGUUGAGAUUCUCCUCCGACGAACUCUCAACAGACACUAAUGGACUCUCAAUGGAUACUAGGCGAGCUCCAUAUAAAAAUAAGACUACCUGAGGAACCUCCAAAUAUGCUGAUCUAACACCUGAUCUAUCACUCACUCAUCUCUCUCUCUCUCUGAUCUCCUUUGCUUCCCUGGAAUCCCUGUCUAACAGGCAUCAAAGGGUACCCCACCUGACACACUCCGGUAAGUGGAUUUCUUCUUCUUUGUUUCAGGUCAGAUACGAUGUCAGAAUCCUAAUCCGAGAACGGCCAUCCCCAUCUAGCUCUUCUUCCUCAAGCUCGAAGGUCAGCCACGAGCUUGAGCCAACCUCACUGAUCUGGUCAGACGCUUCAUCAAUCUCACUAGCUCGGUGCCAAGUGUUAGGCCAGAUUUCAGUCACGACAAUUGGUAUAGCAUUAAUUGCUCAUGUAUAAUAGUAGCAAUGGCAGUAUAGUCAACUUUAUUAUGUGAAACCACAAACAAACUGAAUUUUCUAUAUACCCCACGUAUAUCCUCCACAUGCUUCAAAGCUACUUCAAGCACCUUUUCUUGAGCUCGGGCAAUUAAAAAAUGCAAUCAAUAUCAAUUAAGUUAAAAUCAUUUCAAGCCUACAAUCGAAUGCUUACACAACUUCAGCAUAUAUAUGCGUGCAGGAGGCAAGCAUAGAAAGCUGAAAAUGAAACUUGCUCAUAUAACACAGCAAGCAUCUACUAUCAUCAUCUCACUUUUAUGUUUCAAAAAAAGAUAGUGAUUAACUCAUUGGUUCCAUGCACAAUCAAUUACUUCAUGAGAAACUCAAAAAGAUCAAAAAUUGAGGCCAUUCUCAACAAAUUUUUGGAACUACAUGACCACAAGGCAGCAAAACAGAUAAACAAAUAUGAAUAGAUCUUUCGCAUUCAACAGUUCAGACAUAAACAACUGUCACCUCAAGUAUGUGCACACAUAGAUGGGACACACAUUGUGCAUUCACCAUCACCUAUAACUUUUGCUGCCAAAGACAAAGUUAAGGUUUAACUUAUAACUUAUCUCAGAUAGCCAAAGUCUGACAGAAAGUUGAAAACUGUUGGGAAACAUAAAUGCCGAGAAGACAUGCACAUUAGGAAGAUAUGGGACAUGGAAUAUAAGUGGGGAACUUUAACUAGACUCAGGAACUUUUUUAAAAUUAUUAGGAAUAAAUUUCAGAAAACAAUUUUUGAGAAUCUUAAGUUCAAAAAAGUUUUGUAACUUUCAAUCACAAAAAAGAAGACAAUUUAAUCAUAGUCCACUCAUAGAUGAUUUUUAUAAAUGGGUGAAGUGUUAGGAGGGGCCACUUAAGAUAUUAAGAAAUUUCACUUAAAACUUAAAAGUUAUAAAUUUCACUUACUGACUGAUUCCUUAUUUCUAAUUUUGUAUUGAUAGUCCUCCAAAAAUAUAGGCUUGUUGUUUUAGCUUAAAUUUUAGAGCAUAUAUUUUUUAGAUGCUCUUUUUCUUUUGGAUGGACAAGAGGUGCAGAGCCCAAAUGCACCCGUUCAAACUAUACCCCGUGCACAUCAGCAACAAUACAGUCCCAAAGAUCAGAGGGAAUAGAUGAUACAUUUACAUUAUGGAUAAUAUGUAGGAAAAAUCUGCUGUGUUACUAACUAAGAUGAUCUCUUACAAAAAAAUGUCUUAAAUAUUUCAUCAUCAUUUUAGUGAUUUUCCAUUUUAUCUUUUUUUGGUUAUUUUCACAUACAUAUAGAUCACUUGUAUUUGUUUUAAAAUUAUUUUGCAGCAAUCUGCCUAGCUGAUUGCUUGUAUCAGCAUCCAUCUGAGCACUGUGCAGUCCCCUAACGACCUUUUAAAUCCUUAAAAGUGCUACUCAAAACUGUCUGACUUUUUGUUCCAGUCAACCAAAAUUAGAUACAUAGUUUAACAUUUUUCUCCCCUUUGAUCUAUUUUUCCUUUUUGAAACUUUUUGCUCCAAUAAAAGGAGGAUGAACCUGAAAACUGCAUCUAGAUGGAAUUCAGUAUGGUAAUAGUCUUGGCAAAAAAAAAAAAAAAAAAUCACAAACUUUUCAAUUCAUGUUAGAUUAAAUAUGAUGAGAUAAUUCAUCCCUCAGCCAAAACCAUCCCAUCCCUCGACAUCUCAUCUAGAAAUCAGAUCAAGCCACUGAUCAUGGAAGCAGAACACAAAAACUUACAUGUUAAAGAACUAUUGCUGAACUUGAGAUAAUGCUAAGAAACCAUGCAAGUUCAAACAACUGAACAUUGCACAAUAAUUAUAUAAAUGAAAUGUUUCCACAAAACUACAAAAAAAAGGAGUGGGAUAAAAGAACAUGCAUAUUCAAAUGCAAAUGCUAUAAAAGCAGCACAGGUAUCAGUUCCAUAAGAUUUUUUAUAUUCCAAUAAAUGAUUAUUAGUGACACAUAUGUGUCUUGCUGUUUCACAAAUUAUGAUAGCAGGCUUGAAAAUUAGUUCAGGAUCAGUUUAACAUUAAUCAUGAUUUCCUAAUCAAGAAAGCAAUAAAUAUACCCUACAGCCAAAGCCAUGGAAGCAUAAACUCCUGAAAAUAUUGGUAUUUUGACCAAAUUAAUGGAUUUUCUUUAAGUUAAAACUGAUUCAACAUAAUACAUUAAGGGGGUGUUUGGUUCGCAACUGAAAUCGGAAUGGGAAUAGAAAUCGGAAUGGCUUGGAAUCAGAAUCGGAAUGGUCAAAUCUUCCGAAGCGUUUGGUUCGUGACUGGAAUUGAAAUCAAAAUCGGAAUCGGAAUGUUAUUUGAAUCUAUAGAGGAGAGUAGGGAUUGAGUUCUAUAUAGAUUGAGCCAUUUUCAUUCCACCCCGAAAUCGGAAUCGGAAUCGGAAUGGGACUCUUCCCAACCAAAUGGUUGGAAUGGGAGUGAGUCACCCAUUCCAAUUCCGAUUCCAGACCCCCAAUCCCCCCAACCAAACACCCCCUAACUGUUUAUUUGGUCAAUAACCACAACCAGCAACCAAGGUCCAUAAUCAUAAUAAAAAGGCUUGUCCUAUUUAAAAAAAAUCAUCAGAUGCAAUUGGAAAAGGAAAAAAAUCAUUGAGCAGGAAAGCAUCAAGGCCAAUAUUAUCAUUGCAGUGACCACCAAUCACUUGUUGCUUACAAUCCAGCCACUGAGAGAAUUUUCAAGUUCCAUUGGAAAUCCUACAUCACUUUCUAACAAUUAUAGAGUGUGAAUCCUUGGUAGUUAGAUUUCAUAUACCACUAUUCACAAAAUGUAAAGUAACAUAAAUUUAGUUUGUUACAAACAUGAAUGGCUGGACGCAAGUGUCACCGUACCGACAAGGUUAUGGAUGUCAUAAUAGCACCACAAAAACUAUUGUUGACCAUGUUAGGAAAAGGAAUACAUAUGAAUUUUAGGACAAUAUGUUUCAUAAAGAGAGUGCAUGACCAGCAAUAUUAAGAGCACAGAUAGCAGAAGAAACUUACCAAAUAAUAACUAUCAUGAAGAUUUGAGCAGAAAAUGCCAACAAAAAAAAGAGCAUAAGUGUUUACCUUCUCUUCUCUUCUUCUUCUUUUCUUUGUUUCUCAAUGGAAUUUUUGCGCUCUACUGACCCAAGACUGGGGCUUCGAGACUUGUCUACAGGGGACUUUGUGGUGCUCUUGCUUCGUCGUUUGUAUCUCCUUGGAGAUGGAGAACGACUUUUGCGCCUCCUAGGGGUUGGCGAACGGCUUUUACGCCAUCUUGUGGAAGGAGAACGACUUUUUCUCCUAAAAGAACGAAAUGAUACAUUAUCAGGAAACAAUGUAAAGAAUCUUGAAGCAUAUGAUAUAAUGAAAUCUUAGUUCAACUACAAGAUAGUAAUACUAGACUAUUGGAAUUCCAAUAUAUCAGAUACAGUUACCUCAAGCAUUGUUAAGAAUUAUCUGUGUAUGCUCCAUCUUUUACCAAAACACUCUUGUAAGUCCAAAUCAAGCAACCAAAGGAUAACUAUGAGCACUCACCACCUGCUUUCAUGUAUCAUUUCUUUUCUUUUUUACAGUGAAAACAUAAAAUCUUAUAAAAUUUUAAUUUUUACAGAAUGUAUCAUCUAGAAUGAAUUGCAUUUGCAACUUUGAGAAGGUAAACCUCCUGUUCCAAUUUAAUCCCACAAUUAAACAUAUAUGGUUAACCAAACAUCAAAGGUUCCUUAAUCUGAUGCACUGUUAGAAGACCUACAGAAUUGUUGGCAUUGUCAAAGUGGGACAAUAGAAAUUAUAGCCACGGACAAAGUGAACCACCCUGAAACUGAAGCAUGAUUGCUACUGAAUAAAUUGCAUAGCUACUCUCUGCAAGACCCUCAAUCCAGGUAUUAUAUCAUAGCAUUUAAAAUCAGACACUACAACUAUAAUUUACUCAAAAGCAAAAGAGAAUACUGCAUAACAUAUAUAAAACAAACUCCAUGAGAACAGACCAACACAAUCCAUAAGUAAAGCAUGAUUAUCAUAUUAAAACUCCUGCAUAUGUAAUAGGCUGGAAAUCAAAAACAUGCAGCUAAUUAUUGUGAACCUCCUUGAGGGCACCAUCUAGAAUCUCAUUCUUCCACAUGGAAGAGGUAGGAACCAUCAAACCAGGAUGAAUAAACCACAAAGGGGUAAUCAAUUUAUAAUCCUUUUUUGUCCCAUAUUCAAAUUUCUGGUUCUUAUUUAAUUAAUUUUAUUAUUUCAAAGUUGAUAGAUCAAGUUUGGCAAGAUUACUAUUAAUAAAAAAAAUAUUUAUGUAAGCAUUAUCAUUAUUUUCAUCCCAUCCUUUUUCCUCCAUUAAAAAUGUGUUGCCUCUUGUUGUAUAUAAAUAAUAAUUCCAACUGGAUUGUUAUUAAGAAGACAAGUUUUCUUAAUUAUGUCCAUUUUCAUUAGGAUAUUAUUUUUUCUUUAUGAGAGUCUUGUGCCUCUUUUUAUAUGUAGAAUGAUGACAAUGACAAUGAAAACAAUGGUAAUUGAGCUAUUAAGCAGGGAUAUUAUCUUAGAACCUUCAGCAUCAACCAUCUAAAGUGCAGCAAAUGAUCUUACGGAGGCACUAAACUGAUUAUUUUGAUACAGAUAAAAUUCAUGACAAUUGUAUAUAAGAUUAAGGAAAAAAAAGAAGCACACUCGAUUGGAAGAGAAAGUCAAUUCAGAAAAUAUCAUUCUGAGAAGAGAUCCACAACCAUAAUUUUCAAAUAAAAAAGUUCAGAAAGAUGAUUUAUUGUUCCCCUUGAGCAAGAUUUCUUAUCCUCCUUGGAUAGUAAGUGACCACAUAAGAAUGUAUUGAUCCAGGUUACUCAAGGUAAAGAGAAAAGCAACUUAAGAACCGGUGCAGACUAUUCAGCACAGAGCUGGUCAAUAUAAAAAUAAUGUGAAACCAGUAAAUUUUCUGUCUCCAUUAGACCCCGUCGAAGGAAUGAUUGCAACUUCAAGAUCUCAUUCAAAGAAAUUAAAAGGGCUCUAUUGCAGCAAACAAUUAUCAGAAUAUGCCUAUGAACAAUCAUAAACCAAACGACCCGUAAUCAUCACAUUAAUAUAAUCAAUACAGAAAUGCUUCGUGCCAUUAUAACCAGUUUUUUAAACCAUCAUGUGUCUACAGAGUGCUCUUCAAAAUUAUUACCAUUUUCUUUCAGAGAAAUUCAUUUGAAGUGUUCAAGCACCAGUUCAAGCCAUAACCACUACAUUUAUAGAGAUAAUUUUUUAUGUUUAACAGGAAACCUCAUUGCCAUUUAUAAAAACCAAAAAUAGCCACUAUUUUCCAUCCCUGACUGCAAGCAGAUACCAUAUACAACUCAAAGAAUGGAAGACUGCAGCCUGGUAAAACCUUCAAACGAUUGAGCAAUCAGUCUUACAUGCGGGUUGAUGCUUCAACAGGAAGAAACAAAAUUUGCUUUCAUUCGGUCUUCCUUCUUACAAUGUAUUCUUAUGAAGGAGAAGCAGAAAGGUACGCACAGAUAUAGUAGUUUACAAGCUGGAAUCUCUUGAAACAAGAUGCAUUAGAAAAAGGGAAAUUUAUAUCUAAUAAAGAGAAAAGACUACGAUGAGGCUCUGUGAUAUCAAGCGAGAUCACCUAUAUGAAUAAGGAGAGCGGCUGCGAUCUCUUCUGCUUCUCCUGCUGCUGUACCUGGGAGAAGGAGAGCGCCUUCUCCUGUAUGAAGGAGAACGAGACACCGUCCGUGGCAUCUCUAACCCAGUACGUAAUCAAUCAGGGAAAAGGGUUCAAUUUUUAACGAAUCAAGCAAUCAAAAACAAGCUCCUCCUGUCUUCUUGAACCGCCCUACGAACUCCAAAUCAAACCACGUGUAACGGGAAGAACGAAUUAAACCCUUAGUUUUUUAGAAAUUAUCAGCUAUUACGGCGAUGCAACCUCGAUUCAUGGAGAGUUUACUUCUGCCGACCGGAUAACAGGACCUGAUUCAAUGAGGAGGGAGUUAAGAGCCGAUCGAAAAGAAACCUAAAAGAGAAAUCCGUGAAGCAAGGGGAAAGAAAAGGAAACCUUUGGAUGGCUGAGAGGUCCAAGCACCGGCCGGAAGGGACGGCGGAGCUUUCCGGCGGCGGGGAGAAGUCGAUCGAAAAGAAACCUAAAAGAGAAAUCCGCGAAGCAAGGGGAAAGAAAAGGAAACCUUUGGAUGGCUGAGAGGUCCAAGCACCGGCCGGAAGGGACGGCGGAGCUUUCCGGCGGCGGGGGGAAAGGAGAUUGGGUGCAAGGGGAGCGAAGGGAUUGAGACCCUGGGCUGCGCUAUCUCUACUCCGUGGCCUGUGGGGAAUGGCGCAGCGAUUUCCACACGGCAGGAUUCCGCCUUCCAAGAGGAAACAGGUGGGGCCAGAGGCGGAGAAACGCUUUAUAUGGAGAUGGAGGCGGCCUUGCAGUUUAGGUUGUCAACGGGCCGCAUUGGAGUUGUAUUCCUAAUUCCCUAUCCAAACUCACUAAAAAAAAGAUAAAAAAUUAAAUUCAACUAAAAUAUUUUUUUUUGAAAAAAAAAAUAACCAGAGCAACUAAUUCCAAUUGAAGUCCAGGUCCAAGGAAAUAAGAUUUGGAUCUACAUCAAACUCAAUUAACCAUUAAAUUUGCAUGCAUAUUCAUGCUUUUCAAGAUUCAAUUUGGCAUAUAAUUUUAGUGGAUUAAUUAGCCAAUGAUUUAUAAUUUCUACAACUAAAAAGAAAUUUAUUUUAAUAUUUUUUUAUAUAUGAUGAACCUAUAGCAAAUUAUAAUAGGAAAAAAAAGCAUAAUAUAAAAAAUUAUUAUUAAAAUUAUAUAAAAAAUUAUAAUCAAAAAAAAUUAAAAUUAUUUCAGAGUUUUUAAUUUCAUCCUGAACUUUAAUUUAGUACAAUCAAAUCAUUAAACUUUUAGAACGGUUCAAUUCCGACCUUGAUUACGUCUGCCGUCUACGUACCGUUCGGAAUGGGUAAUGUGGCAUCACGUGAGGAUCAUGUGAGAGGAUAAAUGGGGAUGAUAUGGAAGAAGGCUUUUUUUUCCUUUACUUCUUUCUUUGUCUAGAUUAUAUAAACCGAUAAUCCUUCCCAUUUUCGAUGACUCAACACUCGUGAUGGUGGUGGUUUGCUGGUCAGCGAGAAGGCGGUGAUCUGUCCUUCAUUCCCGUGAUGAAGAUAAUUUUUUUAUCUCAUAUUUUGUUCAUUUUUCAUCCAACUUUUACCUUCCUGAAUCCAUCUAUCUUUUUCAUCCGGCUUAUCACCGAUUGACUCCGGUUACAACUCGUAAGGACGCACAUCAGUGAGAGAAAGACAAGUGUUGGAAGACAUAAUAUCUAGAAGAGUUGGAAGAUCAUCACAUCACUCCCCAGUCUCUAGCAUGGAGUCAACUGGAAGCUAUGAAGCUCUCGAUCAGUGCAAAUGUAGUCUUGUAGCUAAAUUAUGGACUUCAUGAAGCAAUAAUAUCCUGGACGGAGGUUUAGGGGUUGUCCAAAUUAUCAGGUGAGUAUGAUCGAUAUCAACUGACUCUUUUUUCAAUGUUUAAUUUCUUAAAUUAUGCUACUAUAAGUUCUUUAGUUAUAAUAUGGAUAUUAAUUGAUGGCAGAACGAUUCUUAUUAUGGAUAUUUUGCUAAGAUUGAUCCAAAGAUAAGGGAUCAAGCCAAAGUAGCUUUACUUGAAAAAAAGGGAUGAAGCAAGGGAUUUGAAAGUUGAUGUGAAAAGAUUGUCUACUAUCGUUGGAAGAUACAGAAGAGAAAGUUUUGAUUUAAAAGAACAUGUGGUUGAACUCAAAGGAGGGACAAUCGAUUUAUUAGAAGAGACAGAGGAUUUAGAAAAAGAGGCUACUGAUAUCAAAGAUAAGGUAUCAAAGCUGAAAGCAGAGUGCAGAGUUAAAAAAGAAGCUUGCUAAACAUACUACGAGAGAGAAGCUAUAUGUGAUUGUAAUCAUGUUUUUAUUCAUUAUGCUAACAAUAGUGGUCAUAUUUUGAUCAACUUUUAGUAUGUUAUUAUAUAUUGAUUUUGAAAGUGGUCAUCAAACCACUUAAACCAGCUCUAGAAUUUUAAAGAUUUUGAAAAUCAACUUUGAAAUCAAUGUUAUACUCCAAAGUUGUUGAAUGUAAUAGUUUAUGUUUGAUAUUUGCAUCUCUUCUUAGUAAAGUUAUCUUCAUUAAAAUGAACUUGAGAUAUGAGAUAGUGAAGCUUGAAAGAGAUUAAAUGGUCAGUUGGCACAUGCGUGGAACCAGCAAAUAUGAAUGGCACAAGAAAAGUUCUUGAGUGAAAUGAUAUGUCAAGGUGUGCUGAGCAUCAUCCCUUAUAUAUCAAACAAUGAAUGCUUAAAGGUCAAGAUGUGUUUCAAAUAGGUUGAUUCGUAGGUCAUACAUAUAUUGCAAAUCAAAUUUGAUUGCCCCUACCUAUAUUUGAAUUCGUAGAUGAUACAUAUAUUGAAAUUUAAUUUUGAUUGCAAUGAAGUUAUUGAAAUUCAUAGAUGAUAACUAUAUUAGAAUUCAAUUUUGAUCGCCCCCCCCCCACACCUCCAUAUUUGCUUGCCCAUACAGUAUACGAUACAUAUAUUGUAUCAGAAAGUUAUGUAUCAUAAUCCUUUGAAAAAGUGGAAAUGCCAAUGAGAAUGCCAUUGUUAAUAAAGCUAAAAUAUAAAACAUUCAGUCCCGUGCCACUAUUAAUUAAGUCAUGUGCUACUGAGCAAAGAGAAAGCUGAAACAUUAGUUUUAAGAAUUGUUAGUUGUUAAGAACUGUAAGAUGCACUGUUAAUAAAGCUCCAAGCUUAUUGAAGCGACAACAAGUCCCUGAGAGCAAUUUUAAGCAUCAACUUAUGCCGAGCACAUUAGGACAAUUCUAUAUGUCUUAUACCAUCACCUGAAAUUUUAUGGUUCAUUUACAAACAAAAAUCCAUCUACUUAAGGAUUCUCUUUCCCACCAUAUCAGACAACUCUGCCUUUGUUUUUUUGCAGCCAUAUGCUAUGACAAGUAAGAAUCUCUAUGGACUUAACCUGACUGCAAUAUAGAUAAUCCUUUUAACAUCAUUGUUUAGCUUAAGAGACAAGCAACCAAGGAAUGCUAAUAUACAAACUUUGAAUUACAAACUUAUUCAGUUAACUGAAAUAUACAUUUGUUCACUUCAAAGUUCUUUGCAUAUACAUUGACAGAGUUCUUUGCACAUACAUUUAUUCUUUGUACAUACAUUCCUUCAGUUAGCUGAAACAUACAUUGAUAGAGUUCUUUGUACAUGCAUUUAUUCUCAAUAACUGAAACAUUCAAACCAAAUCUAGAACUUGUAAUUCCAACCUGAAACAUGAAAGUUAAUAACAAACAUCAAUAGUAAACAUUUACCACUGAAUCAAAUAUAAUGCAAUAUAAUAUUAUAUUGUUUCAUUACAUAUAACCUGAGCUAUCAAAAGAUUUGCAAACAACCAAAAAUAAUCUGAGCUAUUACAAACACUAAAAGUUCAUAUCUAUUUGUAAUAACCUAAGCUAUUACAAACAGUCCAAAAUAAACACUGAUCUAUGUAAACAAGAAGAACAAUCAUCUUGAACUACUUCCACAGCGGCAACACAAUACACCAUAUCAACUAAGCAUUAUCAACAGUGCUAUCUUGGGUUCCUAACUGUUCAGACAAUGGCUGAGUUUUUUUAUCCUGAUUCUUUCUUCUAGGAUCCAUUUGUGCUUUUAGUGAUCCCAUACCAAUUUGAGUUGCACUUCUUCUACUGAAGUGUCUCAUCCGGCUUGGCCUCUGUACAAACCAAUUGCACAUAUAAAUCAGCAAGAUGAUAUUAAACAACUCGAUUGUUGGACACAAAUCUUACUAUAAUUUUUUUUUCGGUAUCUGGUAAAACAUAUAGUCCAUUACCCUCGGAAAGCAUUUGCCAUCCCCUUCUCUUAUUUGGCAGUUUUGCUCGCCUCCUGGUGCUGGCUCCAGUAGAUGUAACCUGAUAUAAGAAAGGUAAUAAGGCAUUGACAUAUAAUGAUUAAAGUAAAAAGACAUGAAAUUGAAAAGUAAAUUUUUUUAUUUUGGUUAUGAUAACAUGAUUUUUACUUGGCCUUCCUCUAAGCCUCUUUGGAGGUAGAUCAAUUGUCAAUGAAUCACUUUUGUUGGGAUAACCCUACUUGUUAUGAACUGUUUUGAAGCAAACUUGAAAGGUCAUCUAUCUUCCAUGUCUUGAAAUCUUAUGAGGAUGCUUGAAUUCCUCGUGUGGUGUGGGUCCUUUCUUCUCAGCUUUUUAGGCCUGCUUGGCAUUACUCUUACUGAUGGAGGUAGCACUACCUCCACACCAGUAUUAGGCCAUAACCUUUCUCCAUUCACAGGUUGAAGUACAUACUCAUAACACUUCUUCCAUACAUCCUUUGUAUAACAUGCUACCACAUAAUCUUCUACAUUAUCAUUCUUAUGCCAUAUAGCAGAUAUGGCAUGACUAUAUGGUAUUCCUGUUAGGUUUCAUUCAUUGUAUGUACAGCUCCUAUCAAUCAAGCUGACUUCAUAGGAUUAUCCCUUACAUGUGACUUCAUAUUUGCUUUCACCAUUAUAAAUUAUCUCACACCAUCUGCUAUCUGACUUAUCUUUUUCAAUCUUUUCUUGUAUUCGAGGGCAAAUUUUUUCAUGCCACUUAUCAAUUUGUCCCUUUUUCUUUGCCAUUCGGACCAUUAAUGCACUCCUAAUAUCUUCAAGGAUAUCAAUCAAUGGUUUCUCCCUUACUUGAAGAAUGCAACAAUUGAAUGUCUCAGAUAUAUUAUUAUCAAUUACAUCACAGUUCAGAAAUGGACAGAAGAAGGCUUUAACAAACUUCUUUGGAUUUGCAUCCGUGAAGUCUUUUCAUGCUUCCUUAGAUAAAACUUUCAUCUCAUCUAGUACAUCCAUAAAGUCUGCCUCUGUAGUACACUUGGCGGCUUUGAAGAAGGUGAGCUUUAGAACUCCACCCUCAUAUUUUUUCCUCCAGUUUCAUAUACAUGCCUUGCACAAUUUCUAUGCUUAGCAUGUGGUAGCAAAUCACUGACUGAUUCAACCAAUCCCUACAUAUAAUAGGCAAAAAUAAAUUAGUAUAAUGUUCUAUAACUAAGCAUGAUGUAUAUUUAAAAGGCAAUUGACUUCAAUUUACUUUUUGCUGGUCACUAAUAACAGUCUAACCCAACUUAUCUCUAAGUCAUAGAUCUUCAGUUAAAAAAUUAAUGAACCAACUCCAAAAAUCUCUAUAUUCUAUCUUUACUAUAGCCCAUGCAAUUGAAAAUAUUUGAUUAUUAGCAUCUCUACCAAUUGCAGCUAGUAGCUCUUCCUUACAAAUUCAUUUUAAGAAAUAACCAUCAAGGCCAAAAGUGGGCUUACAACCUGUCAAAAAUUCCUUUCUAAGAGCUUCAAAAUCAAUAUAUAAUCUUUGAAAUAGUAAACCAUCAACAGACCUCUCAAUCUUCAUGACUAUUGUUGUGCUCUUGUUGCUUCUCCUAAUCGCUUCACAAUAAUCAGGUAGCCUUACAUAAUAUUUACUAUGAGACCUUCUAAUGGUCUCCAAAGCCAAUUGCCUUGUCCUCCAUCACUUAGUAAUGGUAACAUCAACUUCAAAUCUUAUCCUAAUAUCAUACUUCAUCUCUUUGGGCUUGUAACCAGGAUAGCCUAAGCUUUUCUUCAAAUUCUUUUGCUAUCCAUCUAGCUAUCAUUUGACUGUUCUUAUGGCUUCUUACAUAUUUAUGCUCAUCAAUAUAUAUCUUGAUUUGAAAUCUAUCAAGAUUUUUUUCAUAUGAAUAUCAUAUUCUGAAUGGGUACCCAUUUAAUGUACAUUUUAACUCUGCUCUAGUAGCCUCGUUCUUCAUAAAUCUCAUAUCAAAUUUUUGUGCUACACUAUAUUUGACUAUAGCAUCUUUAAAAUGUUCAAUGGUGUUGAAUGUCAUACCUUUACAAAAUUUGACAUGCUGUAUAUCAGUUUUUGAAUUGAAAUAAACCCAUCUCUUCCUCUUCAUGAGAUCACCAAGCUCAUGCUCAGGACUUGAUUCCGGUAUGUCAAACUCGGAUGAAUCAUGAUAAUCAUUAUCGUACCCAAUCUGCUCUUCAAGUUCAUCUAAGAGAGCAGAUAUGCUUACUCCUGUACUCUCACCCACACAUGGUGGAUGCUCUCUUUGUACGUGAUCCUCAUUCUUCUUAGUUUUAUUUUUUUCUUCUCUCACUCUUUCUCUUAUAGCUAUCCACUCUUUAUUAUAUAUUAAAAGCUCAACAUCUGUAUAACAGUUGUCAUCAGUCUCUCCAUCUUCACUGUCAUUGAAUGGGACAUACUCUUCAUCCCCAGAACAUUCCUCAUCAAUCCGAAUUAGCUCCUUAAGUCUUCUAUCAAGUACAUUUUUUUUUCCUUUCUUUACCACUGCUUGCUGACUUUGCUUAGUAAUUGUUUUCUUCAAUUUGCCUCUUGCUGGCGGCUAUCCAAUUCCUUUGCUUCUCAUUAGUUCCAAGCCUUAGUUGUCCACAAAUUGUUUAGUAACACUUCUAGUCCUACGUCUUCUUCUACUGAUUGGUUUGUUGAUUACUUCUUCAUAGUCAACAUAAACAUAAAGGUACUCUCUUCUAUCCAAUGCAAGAUUUAUUAUUUCUUGAAGCUAACCAUCUUGAUAAAUAAGCCUCAUUUCCUGAUCAUCAUUUGGAACAUACAUCCUGCAAAAUAAUCUUACAACUUUAUCCAUACACAGGUUGUCCACCAUAUCUUAUAACUUAUCAUAAGAUAAGUUAUUUGUGUCACAGAUAUCACAAUAUACCACAUUUCCUCCAACAUAUUCAAUGCAUCUACCCUUCUUGACAAGUUCUCGCCAUGUUAUACAACAAUGGUUAGACAAUCCAUUAUGUGAUAUGUUAAAAAGAUUAUAUUGAAAUAUCAGUAAUAAUAGCAAAAAAAUUAUGUCCAACAAUAAGGAAGUAGUUACACAAAAGUCUGCUUUAAGAAGCAGCAUACUAUCAUCUAGCACAAAGAUCUACUGGCUGAAAAAAAAAUGCAUUUCUAUAUUCCAUGAAUAUUGAAGACAACAAGUUGGGACCGCAUUCUACUAAAUUCAAAAAGAUUAAACAAAACUUUGGGAUCAUAUGGGGAUGAUUUGGGACCCAUUUCACUACAAACAGAAGCUUUAAUAAAGCUUCAACAGCUUUAAAAAGCUUUGGAACCACUUAAAUGGUGACAACUUGGGAUCCAUUUCACUACAAAUAGAAGCUUUAAUAAAGCUUCAACAGCUUCAAAAUACUUUAAUACCAUUUGGGACCACAUUCUAUGCACAUCAGAAAACUUCAACAGCUUUGGGAUCACAUACAUACAACCAAAAAAUUACUUUUUCAAUCACUUGCUACUCAAAAUCAAAUCUUUCUUAUUUUUUCUCGGGUUGAAGAAAUUAGGAUUUUUGAAAAAAAUCUACACAAACACUAAUAAGUAAAAUCAAAAUAUAAGAUAAAGAAAUCAUUUUGUGAAAAUGGAGGACCGAUCACUGCCUUCUUAUCGAUCGAUAAAGCAUCGCUCUCAUCAGAGCCGUCGGUAUCCAGUCGUUGAAAAUGGAGGCAAAGAAUGAUCGAUGAAAAAAAAAAGUCUUUUUCCACAUCAGCCUCAUUUACCCUCUCACGUGACCCUCACAAGACGUCAUGUUCUCCAUUCUUAAUGGUACCUAGACGGCAGACAUAACCAAGAUCGAAAUUGAACCAUUCUAAAAGUUUAAUGAACUGAUUGCACUAAAUUAAAGUUCAAGAUAAAAUUAAAAAUCUUCAAAUAGUUCAAAAAUUUUUUCGUAACUAUUCUUAAGAUAUAUUUAUUUUUAUGUUUAUUUUUAUAUUUUUGUAAUUGAAAUAAAAUUAAAUUUUGAAUAUCGAUUGAGAUUUUGGAGGUAGAUCUACGUAUGAAGAAAAAGAAUUAAGAAAUCAAAAAAAAAUUAUAAGAUUUUCUUUUUAGAUUUAUGCAUAUAUAUUUAAUUUAUAGAAUUUUUAAGUUCAAACAUAUUUACAUUCCAGCCUGAUCCAAUAAGAAAUCAAAAUCUUACAUGUAAAAUCCAACUUUUAUGUGAAAACAUUAAUUUAAAUCUUUUUCUAAUUAUAUAAAUCGAGUUGGGUUAUCAAAUUUUUAGAUUUGUUUAUAUCCUCACCUUGUAUUAUGGAGACUUAGCUAUGGAUCAGUGGGGCACAAUAGUUAUGAUGGUAUCUAAAGAUUUCUCCAUACCACCUCACUUUCCGUUACAAUCUGUAUACACGGUGAUUGACUAAGUAACACACAGGGAUGAUGUCAUUUUUGUCAUCUUUGUAGAUCACAUCAAUCUUUCUGAUACCCUCAACAAUGAAUGAAGUGGUAUUGGGAAUAGCACUCCCUAAAAAUAUAACAAGAUUUUUUUUCUUUUUUUCAAUUAAUAAUAUUUAAAAAAUAAAAUCUUUUGGACCAUAAUUGGUAUUUCAUUUGCAUUGUUGUUGAUCAAAGGGAAAAAAAAAAUCAUGAAAAAAAUUUAUCAAGAAGCAUCGUCAUUAAGUGGAUGUGUUGUUAACUUGAAAUAUGGUUUCAUGGCCAACUAUAAAAAUAAAUAAUGAUACUUUUUAUAUCUUUAAAUGAGAAGAUUGUAUUAAUAUCCUUAUAUUUUAUCGUAUAUUAAUUUUUACUAUAUUAAAUAUAAUCUAUUUUUCUGAAUUGAUGCUCUUAUAUUUUAUGUUAAUGGGAGGAUAAUAAUGCCAAGAAGAAAAAAAUAAGAACUCCCUUGAAUUUAUUUGGUUUAUAGAAAAAAGAGAUAGAAAAAAGUCAAUAAGAAAAGAAAUAAAUGUCUCAUAUUUGAUUGAAGUUUUCAGAAAAAAAAAAGAAGAUGAAAAAUAACUUUCUUAUGAAAAUAAAAUUUCUAUAUUUCAAAAAAAAUUUAUAUAGGAUAUAAAAAAUAAUUUUUUCAUUGAUUAAGAAUCGAGGAAAUAUCUUUUUCAAAAAUAUCUAAAAUAGAAUAAGAUAUUUUUUUCAAUUAAAAGCAUAAUGGGUAGUUUACUUAUAUAUUUUUUUAAAAAUAGAUGCUUAAUCAAAUAUAAUUUAUUUUAAAAUAUAUCACUCUGUAAUAAUUAAUUAAAUAUAUAAAAAUUAUAAUUUUAGAUAUCAUAUAUCGAUAUAUAAAUUUUUUUUUUUUUGGUUACAUACAUAUAAGUUUUUUUUAAAAAUAAAUAUUUCAGUGGAGGAAAUUUUUUCCGACGAACCCAACCAGUCCCCUAUCUUCCAAAGAAAGCGAACCGGGCUCAGAUUUAACGAUGGCCCUCCAAGAUGCCUCCGCAUUGCAUGCACCAGGUGCAAUUGGACCGCGUCAAAUCCCACGGUAGAUAACACGCCACGCUAUUCUUGUAUUUCACCAAUUCCGAUUGCGCGCUAUCCACCGUGCAUAUGCUCCGGAUUUGCCCAGGUUCAGGUGGAUGCAAUAAUUUCUCCUCCAAGGCAGAGAAGAGAAAUUGGGCUUGGCUGAUGACCCUUGCUCCAACUAUAGCAACGAUAAAGGAAAAUCGUUUGACGCCGCGGUUAACUGCACUCCCGCACCGCAGUCCCUCCUCCGUCGGUCACCAGCCAUGAAUUCCGCUCCCUCGAAACUCUAUACCGGUGAGUCCUCUUCCGCCUCUCCCUUCCUUUCUAUCUGUCUCUCUCUAAUCCCUCUGCCCCUUUACAAAACCACAGACGAUGUCAGCCUGGUCGUCGUCCUCCUCGACGCCAACCCCUUCUUCUGGGCCGGCGGCGGCGGCACCUCGCCCCACCAUCCCGCCGCCACCCUCCCUUUUGCCAAAUUCCUCAAUCAUGUGAGCUCCUUUUUCUUCCCAAAUCCUUGUAAUCUAAUCGAAACCUCAAAACCCCAAAACCUAACCCUAAGAUUCGAUCCUUUUUAGGUUAUUCCAUUCUUGAACUCCGUUCUCCUCCUCAACCAACUCAACCAAGUGGUCCUCAUCGCCACCGGCGUCAAUUCCUGCGGCUAUAUCUACGACUCGGCGGGCGGAGGGUCACAUGGUGGGAACGUGCCCGCCGUGUGCUCCGAGAUCCUUCGCAAGGUGGAGGAGUUCGUGGCCAAGGAUCGGCGGCUUGGGAAGGGGCCUGAUAGGGUGGUCGCUGGUGGCGUCUCUUCUCUCCUCUCGGGAUCGCUAUCCCUAGCUCUAUGCUGUAUCCUUGAUGGUUCUCUACUUUGAAAAUCACGUCUUUUUGCAUGAAGUUUGGGAUUUAGGAAAUUUUGUUGGUUCCUAACGCGGGAAUUAGAUAUUCAGAGGGUUUUCCGAUCUGGAGCACUCCAUCCACAGCCACGAGUAAGUAUCCCGUUUAUUUGUCGAGCUAUUAAUACUUGUGCUUGUUGUUAUUUUGUUGUAAUUUGUCUCCUUUUCUGCUCAUAAGUUAGUUCAUUGUUGAAAAGAUAAAAAUUCUAAGCUGAAGAAUAACUUAUGAUGACGAUGUUUGGAAGUUGUAUGUUUGCUCGAAAUUUGAUGGAAUAAUUGAGGUUGGGGUUGAAAAUGGUACAGGUUCAGGCUGAACACCUCGUGCUUAAUGUAAUUAGGUGGUCAAUAUCCUUGAGAGUGAAAGUACUAUAUUUCAUGAUCAUGAGUUUUGAUUAAUAUGAGAUGCUUCUGUCAGCACUCUUGGUUGUGGCGUGGAAUAGCCCAUAACACAGGUUCAACUGAGGUAGGGUCGCCUGACUUUGUUUGGAAACAAGAGCUAGGGUGAGGGUUUUACACUCAUAACUGAAGUUUAUUUAGGAAUCACCUAUUCAUUGACAAUAUUGUUUUACACACUUGUGUAUCUAAAGGGCCAUAUUAUAUUCUUCACAUGUGGGAGUCCAUUUGAAAUUCAAACAGUGAAAUAGUUCUUAUGCCAACAAGCAAAAUGGAAACUCUAACUUGACGAGCAUAGUAUUAAGAGUAGGAAGUAGACCUUUAGUUGUUCAUUAUGUUGAGGGUGCUAUAGAUGUCAUAAUCUUGGCAUGGUACCUUUGAGGCAUAUAUGUGUGAAAAUCCAGUCAAAAUAUAUCCAUUAUUUUGAUCACAAUGGAAUCUUGAUUUUCUAAUUUAGCCAGUACUAAAGUUUGUAGUACAUCAUAGGACCGUGGCUGGAAAAACAUGUGUUGGUCUCAGUUAGCCUGCUAAACUGUACAUCGACUUGGUGACUCAUGUGAAAUCAAUGUGAUGGCUCAUGUGUUAUGUAUAUUUGGAUGACUGAUGUAAAUAUAAAGUAAAAGCAUAGAAUAAUUUAUUUCAAUAUUGUAAUGACUGAUGAUGCAUUCUUUAAUUAUAGGUGACAAUUUAACUACUAUGAUUUUAGAGGAUGUGCUUUUGAACUGCCUACAAUAUUUUUAUUUUUUUUCUUGUUAAUCACCAAAGAUAUCAUUUGACAAAUUGAAAGAUUUAUAACAAAACCUUGUCAUGUAUCCUGGACAUGCCAAAAAUAAUGGGGAACAAAUUAAAAAAAAAAAAGUUAUUUAACUUCAUAGUCACAACAGAGCCAUAUCCUGUGGGCAGAGUAUAACAUUUUUUUUUUUUUGAUGAGAAGGGAGGAUUGUGACCACUUGUUUAUUAAUAAAGCAUUUUUAUAUACAAGAGGUUACUAAGUUAAGGAAGGGGAGAGGAAGAGAAACAAGCAGGAGCCAAGACACAGCUAUAAAACCGUUGCCAAGAUGGCACAGUUUCAUGUAUGACCCUUUGCAUCUAUUUCAUCUCAAGAUGUGAAAAAAAUAGAGGAGAGAGUUUAGCUGCGAUUCCAACUGCUUUGUAUCUCUCUAUUGUGCGUCACUGUUGUCAUCUCCUUUGAGAAUUAUCAAGCAUUCUUGUACUGGAUUUUUAUAUUUUCCUUGGUGACAUGAAGUCCAUCUGCUAAGAAGGAAGAGGCAACUCUGCCCUACUUUCUCUGACGAUGAUGCUUCGAAGUGAAAAACACAGUUGUUUCUUUCUUUCCAUUUACUCCAACAUAGUGUAGAGAUAGGGCAAUCCCAUGCAAGUUUCUUUCUAUUUUCUUUAAUGUUUUGUCUCCUGGCCAUCUAGCAAGCAUAUACAUCAACUUCAGUGACUUGCAGAUAGUAACAUUUUGAAUACAUGACAUGCACCAUUGUUGUAAUUUAGUGAUCAAAUCACUAGAUGGUACAUCGGUUAUUUUUAAAGACUAAGAAAAUUCCAAUACAAACGCAUCCUAAGAACCACCUUAUCAUUUGAGUUAUAAAUAUACCGAGUUACCGGUUACCUAUGUGAAGAAAAGCUAUUAAAGAAUUUAGCUUGACAAACAUUUUACAUUUAUAUGAAAAUGCUGUAAGUGAAGAGCAUACAUGCUUGGCUUGGUAAACUAGUGAACUCAUAAUGACUUGCUUGUGUCAGAAAAAAAAAAAGCUUCAACCUUGACCAAGUUAGAAGUAUCAUUUACCUAAGAAGGAAACAUGGCUUGGAUAAGCCUCUUGAUUUGCUGAAUCAUUCAAUUUUUGGCAGACCUGAGUAGAUCCAACUUUGCAUUGUAUUUCUUUUUCCGAGCCCAGUUGAGUCACAUGUAACUUUGAUACCCUAACCUGGAAUAUAGUUACAUGAGAAUCAUUAGUUAGGCAUUACUAAAGGCUGAAGGAGCAAACUUCAAUGCUGAAACUAAUGAUGUUAGUGUUUUCCUCAUUAAGAUGUAUCUUAAUGUGGCUAUUCUACCUUUGUCUUACAUGAACUUAAUUUUAGUAUACCGUGUCCAAUUAUGUGCAAGUUUUAGUGGUUUUACAAUUGAACAUCUGCUUCUUUAUACUCUUUUUGGGUAAAACUUUUCUGGCCCCCCUUCAUAUGCCAGUAAAAUUACCUAAAAGAAUGUUGUUGACUUGCAAGAUGUACAAUUUUGUGGUCGGUGAAACAUUAAACUAACAUCCCAAGACAGAUUUUAUGUCUGCAGGGUUCUCCAGAUGGACCAGAACAGUAUGUUUCCUUUGCAAUUUGAUUCCUUCAUAUGUAACUUCAUAUACUUGGCUUGAAGUCUGAAACAGUGAGUGGGCAGAUAUGUUGCAGUAAUGAAUGCAAUAUUCUCAGCACAACGUUCCAUGGUAUCCUUUGCAAAAAUCUGAAUUUAUUAUUUAUUCUCAUUUAAGUCUUUGAUGUUUUUUGCCUUCUUAAAAUGCCAAAAUGAUUUAAGUAAAUAUCUCAGUACCCUUGAGCACUUUACGAAUCAUACAGGGUUUAUUUGGAACUGUACCUCUCCCACAUAUGGGAUAUAUCUUAAUGAUGAUAAAGAUCUGUCCUUUAAGGUUUGUUUGUUUCAGUAAUUUCUUGAGGUAAACCGUCGUUAAAUAUUUCCUUAAUUGUAAUUGUGAAUCACCCCGUACACAAACAUAUAAUUUUUUUCCCGGAGAGGUGGAGGUGAGAGGAAUUUUCAUGAUAAACUCUUAUAAUAGAACAUCGACUGGUGCAGUGUAAGUAUAAUAUUAGAACUUGGAGUUUUGAAGUGACAAAGAAUUUAGCUCAUAAACUCCUGAGAAGCAUCUUGGAUGAGUUUUCAGACUUACAUCCUUUUAAAUACUUCUUUUGUGUUACCCCCUUUUUUUAUUUUGUUGUUAUGAUCGCAAACCCCAGAACCCCCCCUCCUACACGCUUUGCAUUUAUUAUGGGAUAUAUUUCAUUCAUCUUAAUUAUGAAAAAAAAUAUGAUCAUCUCAGGUUCCUAUUGAUUCGUGUGUUAUAGGGGUUCAGCACUCUGCCUUCUUGCAACAGGUGAUGUGUAGAUUUUGAAUUACCUCUAGUUUUAAACUCUGAUGUUUCUUUAGCGGAGUUUCUCUUUUUCCACCUUUAUUUUUCAGCAUCAAUUAUUAAAAUGAAUCCAUUUUUCAGGCUUCGUAUAUUACUGGGGGGGUUUAUCUGAAGCCCCAACACCUGGAUGGCUUAUUUCAAUACCUUGCAGUAAGUUCUUAUUUUCUUCUUUUUCUUGAUUUGACCUGAUACUAAAAUUGUUUUUAUCAUGAAGAUGAUCCUGCCCCUUGUUUAGUAGAUAAUUGAUAUGCCUAAUUUCUGGGCUUGAUGUUCAUUAAUUGGAAGAUAUUUUGUUUCUCUUGACUUUCAUAUAUUGGCAUGCUAUUACUGGUUUGCAGAUAAAAAUUACAGGCCUGAAACAAUAUUAACUAUCUAUUAUUUUGACUAUGGCAGCAAUAUAACUCAUUUUUAUAACAUCACGAUAAAGUUGAUCAAAUGCAAUAUCUUUUAGCUAUCUGCGACUCACAAGGCUGACUAGACAUGGUCUCAAGAUAUGUGUUGAAAUAGAGAAGAUAGCUACUCUAUAACUUCAGGAGAAAAGAAAGUAGAUAAAUGCGGUUGAUGACAUUAAUUUUGAACUAAUUAUUGGCCAUCCCACUUGACCUAAUUUACUUCUAUCAGUUCAAUUCUAUGCAACUACAUAAUAAUUAGUAUUACCCUAGUUCCUGUAAAUAUUAAAUUGGUCUAAAAGGAGAAGUUUAAGUGAAAAUGAACUAUGCACUAGUUUAGAUUUUGAUGCACCUUCCCAUUGCAAAAUAUGUGUUUAAAACUAGAACAUCUGAUAAGUGAUCAGGUGUUUCUUGAAUAUCUUUUAUUGAGCAAUAAAGAGCUGUGUGCAACCACCAGUGUUUCUCUCUCCCAAGAGCAAGUUGGUUGGGAAUCCCAUGCCCCGAAAACCUAAGGGUUCCUCCGCAAGGUUCAUCAACAGAGGGUGAGUCAGAGCCAGGUGGUUCUUGAAUAUCAUUUAUGAGAAGCUAUGGAAGAAGGAGAUAAGGCUGAAGGCAUUGUAGGAACUGUUAGUUUGCAAAGCUUAUUCUGUAUGAACAUCAAAACACCAUCAAUGGUUGGUAAAGCAUGGGCCUAUUCAAAACCAUUACCAUAGCUCAAUCCUACUGUAGAUUGGUCUUGUUUGUAACUGGAACAGCAAAAGGCAUGGCAUAGACAUGGUACGCAUGACAUGCACCAGACAUGGCACAGCAAAGCUGGUGCAGAUGUCUAAACAUAUCUUUUACAGUGUCCGCCACAGUAUUUUUUAUCAACAGCUUCCCAAAUCACAGAGCCCUCGGGCUGAAGUAUGGCAGAAAUAACUGUCACGAAGUGGAUCACGGAGCGUAAUCAAUAUAUUCCCUACAUACUCUUAGUUUUCUUAGUUCCCCAAAUUUUAGGAAGCAUCCGGCUCAGUCUCCUCAGGGUGUGGACCAGGUUCAGAGAUUUCCAGAAGAACAUUCAAGAUAUUUAGCUAGGAUUCUUUUUACCUUGAUAUCCUUUGAAGUUUUGACUACGAAAACUUUCAGGCUUGAAGGGUCACAGAACUAAUUUUGCAUGAUUAUUCUAUAGCUUUAGGUAACAAUUAUUCUGACUUGGUUUCUAUGUGUUUUCAGGAUUCGAUAAAGGUCAUUUUCUUCUUUCUUUUGAAUAGACCAAUUAACCAGUUAAAGCAACAAAAAACAUCAUGUAGUUUCUUUUCUUUUUUCCUUUUUCCUUUUGCUGUUUUUCUCAUGUGCUUCGUACCGUAGCAAUUAUAUUUUAAAUUUAUUCAUAUUCACCUGAUUUUCCAUAUUCAAUUUUUCUAUAUGAUAUCUAAAAAAGAACGAAGGUAAAAUGAAAAUGAAAAAAAAAAAAAGCCAACCAGUUGGGAAUAUGCCAUGCUUCUUGACCUGGGAGUCUGGGACUCUCUCUUCCUGUGAGAUAAAGUUAUGUUUCUACUGGGCACUUGCUGCAAAGUGCUUAUAGUUUUAAGUUUGUGCUUUUGUCAUUCAUUUAGUUAGCACAAGGAUAAACAUAUACAGCAAGCUUUGUCUGAUGAACUAGGGGUUGAUUAUAGGUAGCCACUGUGCCAUUUUUCCUAACCCAUGGCCAUUUACUUGAAAAGUUAAUCUGGGAUAUAAAACAAUUUUUCUACUGUUUUUCCUUUUAUAAACAGCAGUUAUGUAACCCAUUUUUAUAAAACAAUAUUUCAUUUUAAAAUAAUCAGUAGCCACCUCCAUAUGUAUUCUAUUCUGUUGUAUCCGUAGCGAUUUGAGUAAUAGUGAUUUAGUAUGCAAAAUCUCAUUUUACUGUUCAUGAGUUUUGUAUUUUAUGACCUUUUGUGAAAAUAUACAGGCGGUAUUUGCAACUGAUUUGCAAUCACGCAACUUUUUACAACUUCCCAAGCCUGCAGGAGUGGACUUCCGUGCCUCGUAUUCUCUUCUCCACUUUUUUAUUCAUCUACAUCUCAUUUUGCUUACUGCUUUUCCAUGCAUAUACAUUGUAAUUCAUACUUUUUUUGGGACUUUGGUGUUUGAUGGGAAAAAGAUGGGAGUUUGUUCUAGAACUAUGUUCAUGCAUAGUAGAGAAAAGAGAAAAUAAAUUAAAAUAAAUAAUCACAUUUAUAUUGUUUUUGAUUUCUCCACAUCCACAGAGGAAGAUGGGUGCCUUAACCUUUUCUCCAGCAGUAUUGUUAGGAUAAGAAGCUACAUUUGUAUUGGUAUUUUUUAUCAAUGAAUUAACACAAACCACUCACCAAACUCUAAUUGUUUUUUUUUCCUGAUGAAGUUGGCUGUUCUUAUGUCAAUUACGAUGCAUAUUUGCAAUGAUUUGUGAACCUUUUCUUAUAAUUGUCUGUAUUUUUGAAUUUCUAAUGCAUUUAUCUAAGGUUUGUGGUUCUUGCAGUUGCUUCUGCCACAAAAAGACCAUUGACAUGGGGUAUGUGUGUUCGGUUUGUUUGUCAAUAUUCUGCAAACAUCACAAGAAGUGUUCUACCUGUGGGUGAGUGGGAACUUCCAUGAAGCCAUUAAAAUUUCAAAAUCCAUCCUUAACCUACCCUAGUUUAUUCUUUUCACGUUGCAUUAGAUUUUGGAGUUGUAAUUUCUGGCUAUCGUGUUUGUUAUUCUAUGCCUGUGUUUCCAGGUUCUGUUAUGCAUAGCUGAAUUGUAGAAUCACGACAUUAUGUUGAAACAGCUUUCCUUUGGCUUAUAUCAUGAUGGCAAUAUAGGCUGGAUAUGACACAUUCUUGCGACUUUUGGGCUGUCUAAAGAAUUAGAGGGUAUUGAUAAUUUAUGCAACAUGCAAUACAAUACAUUGGAAUCAUCACAUUCUCCAUUUGCUAAUCUUGUAUAGUUACCUUUUCUUUAUUGUGAUUGUCUCCUAGUUUGGCUAUCAUUUUAGUUUGGUUGUGAAAUCUGCUAUCCUGGAUGUAUAAUGCAUAUUUCUGUACACUGAAAUUGUCCAACCUGAAGUUACAUGCUAUAGACACAUGAGAUAAUUGCUAGUUAUGUUUGGCAAAUGUCUAAUGUGGCUUUCAUGACCUUCAUAGUGACACAGUGUGAGGACCCAUCUGAGCAUGUAAUUAGUCCUGCAUUGAUUGUGUGCUGAGAAAAUCUUGGGUACUUAAGUAAGGCCAAGACUAGCCUUUUUGGGUGAGGUCUUGGAUUGUUACCAAAAGAAAUUAGAGUAGACCCUACUUGUAGCCCAUGUGGACUAGAGGACAUUGUAGGGCAUGCCCUUUUGAUGCUGACUACUAGCCAUUUGUAGUGUUUUGUUAUUCUAGCUUGACCCUUAGCCUCACUAGGAUGGAGGGCUUAAAUAAGGGGAGUUUGUGAGGACCCAUGUGAGUGUUUGUAGUCUCACAUCAAUUGUAGGCUUCGAGGAUCUUGAGUACUUAACUGAGGCCAAGGACCCCAAAUAGUAAUGUCUGGCUACCCUUUUUGGGUACGAUCCUGGAUUAUUGCAACAAAUGUAAUGAGUUGACCUAUAUAUAUCAUAUCAUAAUUAUAAUCAUCUGAACUUUUCCCAACCAUUUGGAGUUGGCUUUAUGGAUCCAACCUAUACAUAGGAAAAUAUAAAUGUAUGUAGAUAUGUGCGCAUGCGUAAAAAAAGAUGAAAAAAAGAACCAAUCUGCUGAGGCGCUAGGUGCUUUCAAGCAUCAUGUUAGUAGAUGUACUUUGGAGACUAAGUGGACUUUUGGAUUUUAGUAAUGUUUUGGUAUAAAGAAUUUAUAAAACUUUAAGCUUUGAGAAAUACCUUAGCAUUUGGAUAUCUAAGCUGGACAGUCUUUUCCACAAGCUAUUAUUUCCUUUCUGAGUAACUUUUCUAUGUUCUGACUGAACUUUUGUACUUCCACGGAUGCCAUUUUUUGAAAAUCCAAUUUCAAACCUGAUUAUUGUUUUAACCAUAAGACAAUAAUUUUUAAAAUUAGUCCCAGGAUUUUGUGUUUGAUAGCCGAAACCAUAUAGCCUUUUCCAAAAUCAUGGAUUCCCUUAUAGGUGACACUCCUGUUUAAGAUAUAUUUCCAUUUUUUGAAUCUCUUGAUCUGUUUCAAGUUUAUGCAUGGUUUUGAAUUCCGAAAUUAUUUACAAAUUUAUGCUUUCCUUGUAGGUAACUUCUCUAUGCUUUUUGAGUCCAAGUUUCUAAGAUUUGUCUUGCAUUUCCAGGAAUCUUAGUCACUUUCUGAAACUUUUAAGUUUCUUUGAAGUCUGGACUGUAAUCAACUAUGUUUUCAGACCUUUUCAUAUUUUAAAGAUUUUGGCUUGUUCUAUGGUCCUUUGCUCCGUUGGAUACAUGUAGCAUUUAUGUGAAAUCAUGAAAUUAUAGGUGCCUUCUAAUUGAUAUUUUUGAACUCAUACUUGGCUUGAUUCUACCCUCAUUGGAACCUCUUCUACUUGCCUCUUUCUAUUGAAGCUUUCUAGUAAAUGUUUCAUUUGAUGUUUAUGAGAAUAUUUGUCAAAUAUAAAACAAAAUGCCAUAAUUGAAGGUCAUUGGUGGACCCCUAGUCAGGUAGCAUAUGAGUGGCUUCACUUGAUUUGUCAAAGAGGAACCUUUGGUUGUGUGGUAUCUGCAGCCUCACUUGCAUUUCCAAUGAGUAUGGACCCCAACCAGGCAGUAUAUGAUGAGUGGCCUCACUCGAUAUUGAUGAGAAUCCUCUAUCUAAGUGUUAUGUUGACCCUUUCCCUUACAUAGUCAUUUGGACUUAAAUGGGGUGAGUUAGGACACAUGCAUGCAUGUGUUUAGUCCCACAUAGAUUGUGUGCUGGGAAGAUAUUGGGUGCUUAAACAGGGCUAAGGACCCCAAGAUAUAACUUCUGGCUGGCCUUCUUUGGUGAGGUUGUGGAUCAUUACAUAUAGGACCUACUGAGAUUCCAGUUGUGAGGCCACUUCAGGUUCUCAUGUUCUUCUAAUGCUUCCUAUGUCUCAUUCAGCUAAUUAUUUCUUUUUUGUUUAUGUAAUGGUCUGCAUAUUAUUACGAAGCACUUAGCUUUCAUGAUGUAGGAAACUUCAUGGCAGACAAUUGUAACUAUACAUCCUUUUAUAUUAGUUUCUUAAAUUUUGCAAACUAUCCAAGAACUUGUCGAUCAAUAUUACAGAAGUUCAGAUUUCUUUUCUUUGUUAUUUUCUCUUUUUCUUCAAACAGAAGUGCACAAUUUUUAAAUGUCUGUUUUGGUUGUAAUGUGAUUGCAUGUAUCUGGUGUAUAGGAAUUUUACUAAAAACAUAUUUUAAUUUUAAUAUGGUGUUAAAUCUAUUUUCUGGCUUGUCUUUUAUUCUAGUUUUUGUUCUACUAUCGACAUUUUAUGUUACUUUUAAUACUUUUUGAUGUUUUGUAAAACAUUUUGAUGCCUAAUGAAACUGUCAAUAAUACAGUAUCAUCCAAAAUGAUAUUCUCUUUUUCAAUUAUUGAUAUGAUUUUUUUUCCUAACUUUAUGUUUUUUCACAGUCGAAACUUCUGACUUGAACCCUGUUUGUUGAAACUAAUGAAGCUACUAAAACUGAUGCUUAUUUUGUCUGGCCAAAAGCAAUUUUAAUCUGCUUGAACCUGGCUAACAAGCCUAGAGCAAUGUGAGCUAUUACAAAGUGUUCAGUCUACUUAGAAUCUGAUUCAAUAUUAUAAUCUAGUUGAACUCUGCCAUACUGACUGAAGACUCAAAGACACAACAACGCAAUGAGUAAAUUCUUCAGCACUUGAAGACUCCCUAGAGUUUAUCCGUUGCAAAAUAAAGCUCAACCAAAAUACUAUAUUUUUUGCUCAGCAUAUCUUAACAGGUAUUGUUAAUAUCAAGUAAUACGUUAAUAGUUGCUUUCUCACUAGUGCAAUGUAAUAACAAAAGUAUAUCCUGCUUUAAACAAUCAUUAGUAUGUUGGUGAUUCUAGAAGUAAUGAAGUUGUUUGAAACUUGUUGUCUACGUAAAUGAACAAUUUGUGCUGGAUUUAUACAGCAUGUCUUAAUGUCUUACUGUUAAACACACCUUAUAUCCUGUUUCUGUGACUUGUUCUGUUUAUUUUUCAACCUUUCUAGAUAGGGUGAGUUUGUGAAAACAUUGGCUACAAAAUUGAUCACACUAAAUCAAGGGUCGUCACAUGAUACCCUUUCAUUUUUGUGAGGUGGAUCACCAAUACUGUCAGAGCUGUUUUAACCUAUAUUUAUUUCUUACUCAGUAUAAUUAAUAAGAUAUAGUUAAUUUGAUCUUUUAUCACUUGGUGGUAUUUCCUUUUGGUCUUUACCUCCCUUAUGUAUGAUGUGGUAUCGUACACAUUGAUACAACUAACUAUUUCAGAUCUGUUGGCAUGAUGCAGGUCAGAGUUCAAUCAAUCCCCUCCUGAUGCCAAUGCAACAUCAGAUAGAAAGAGAAAAGUUUCAGAGGUCUAACCACAGCCAUCAGGCCUAACUUCUGCCUUCCAUUAUGGGUGUCACUCACCUGAGUUUAUUCCCAUGUUCGGGACAUUAUUAUCCCCUUCCUUGAGGCUAUCUGUACCGUUUCUUGGACAUCCAUCUUGAUGACUUCUGACAAAUCACAAAAACUUUAUUUUCAAUCAGCAUUAUUUUCCCCUCCUAAUGACUUUAGUGAUACACCGUUUUUUUUUUUUUUUGGUACAAGCGAGUGAUAUACAGGUUCCACUGCUGGUAUAUGAGCUUCAUUUAAUGGUGCAUCCAGAAAUUGGAACUGGUUUUUGAAAUUUUUAUAUUUAAGUAGGAUAGCUGCAUAUAAAAAAUUGGGGAAUGUGGGCUUUACAAAAGACCUCAAAGCAUGGCUACUUAGUGGGGAAGGGUAUGGAGGGGGUGGUGUCAGCCUCAAGACGGCGGUUCAGUGCUGCACCGUGGAGUUUUUGCCAGGGUGAUGGCAGUGCUGCAGGGGCUUCGGGCCCAUCCGGUGCAAGGCCCGUUGUGUUGUAAGCGGCCCAUAUUCCUUAAGGGGUUGGCUUCUAAUGUUGCUUUACUAUCUCUAGGGAAAUUCUUUGUACACUGUCCAUGGUGUAGAAAAUUUAAUGUGAAGCAUCCGUUUUGAUUUAUUGCAUCAUGUAGCAUCAUUUUUUAAUAUGUAUUUAAUUUCUGUAAUUUUAUUUUUUCAUUUAAAAUUUUGAAUGAUAAAAUUGUUUCAUUUUUUUCAAAAAAAUUAUGAUAUUUUGUGUAAAUAUUAUGAUAUCGUGCAUUGAAAUUAUAAUUUUUUAUAUAGAAUGUCAUAAUUUUUUUUAUAGAAUAUUAUAAUUUGUUCAAUAAUAAAAAUAUAUUUUUAAUUUUUUUAUAAUAUCUUAUAAAAAAAUUAUGACAUUCUGUGCAGAAAGUUAUAAUUUCAAUGUAGGAUGUUAUAAUAUCUGUAUAAGAUGUUAUAAUUUUUUUUAGAGGAAAAAAUAUUUUUAUCAUUAAAAAAUUUAAACGAAAAAAUAGAAUUAAGGGUAUUAAAUAUAUAUUAAAAAAUGAUGACUAUGUAGCUCAAUCGGAUGAGACGGUGUAUUUCAUAUCAGAUUUUUUACAUUGCAUGUUGUGUACAAAAAAUUUCUCAUUGUUUCUAUAUGGGGCUGUUCAUGUGGCUCUUACGUCGUGCCUGAUCAGCACAGUAUCUUUUAAGUUUGUUGUUAUUGUGAUGGUAGUGGUGGGUUUUAUUUUGUACUUGUUGCUAAGCUAAAUAAAAUGCUCAUUUUUACUAAAUAAAAUAAAUUAAAAUAAAUUUAAUCAUAAGACUAUAUGAUAAAUAUGUUAUAUAUAUAUUUAAAAUAAAAAUAGAAUAUUUUUUUUUCAUUUUUCAUCUUAGAUAACUUUUAUCCGGCCCUGGUGGGUGCGUGAUGAUGAUUGUAGAAUGAUACAUCUUAAUGUGAACCAUUCAUUAAGGCAAUGCCGAUCAUAUAUGUAUUUUUGAGUGAGGGAGUGUCUAUCUAGGCAUCUUUUAUAUAAGAUAAAAUCAUGUAGUAUAGAUCAAAACGGAUGAUAUCUCAUGCAUAUGGAUAUAGAGACCUAUCUCGUGAUCGCAACAUGGGGUCAUUUUUUUAAUUUAAAUAUUUCUAAUAGUCAUUUAAGAAUUUGACAGAUAAUAAUGUUGUUACAUUUUCAUCAUUGAUUAUUGUCUUCUAUCAUAGCAAAAAAUUAGAAGAGGUCAUAUUUUAGCUUGAUUCUAUAUGAUUUUUAUUAUACAUGUGUGUGUAUAUCCAUGCAUAUAUAAUUUAUUUUAUAAUUAUAUCUAAAAAUUGUUAUUUAUAAGUAUACUCAUGGGUACAUCCGUUAGAUUUUUAGUUAAUGGUAUUAGUAAACAACUAUUUCGAGUAUGAAUUUAUUUGUAUUACUCUUUUGCUUAAAUACCUUUGAAAAUUUUAUAUAAAGAUUUCGCUUCUUUCAACAGAAAAAUGAAUGUUAAAUUCUUUCAAUAGUAUUAGCAUAAAAAGGUGGCACUGUUAAAUAGCUUUUAAUUGCUUGAUGUAGCUAUUGAAGCCUUCCAUUAUGAUCAUCUAUUGCAUUUCCAUAUUACAUUUCAAGUAUAAUUGAAAAUAGGAAAAAAAAUACACCAUGCAUCGUUUGUUAUUACUAAACUUAGGACAUGCAAAGCUUAAAAAAAAUAAUCAUUUGAUAAAUUAAUAAUGAUUAAUAUGGUAAAAGAUAAAUUGAAACAAUUUAUGGGAUAAAUAAAGAUCAAUCACGGAAUUUAUUUCAUCCUACAUUAUUUUUUUGGAUACAAACUUGAAAAUAGUGUGGUAAAAAUAGUGUGGUAAUUAUCAAGCACGACAUUGUCUUUCUUCAUGGAGAGGACUUUUUUUUUUUUUUUUUUUUUUUUUUCUUCCCAAAAAAUUUAUAGCAAGUAUAGCAAUAAUACAACAAACAACACUUGAAAAGUUUCUACUGCAAAAUCACAUUAACAUCUAAAUAGAUCCUACCUGGAAUAAAUAACCAAAUGCCAUAGUAGAGAAUUGCCCUAGAUGCGGAUUUUUCGUGGCAGCGUCCUCUCCGGUCUGGCUUGAAGGAACCUAUUUAAUAUAUGGGCUGUGCCGCGAUUAGCUGGUCACGAAUUCACCGGCAUGGGGCCGGGUUUCGAUCACAAAAAUGGGCCCGAUAGCCGAACUCGCAUGUACCACACCGGAAACACAUGGGGUUUACACAAUGUUUGGUGAUAUUUUCGGGGAAGCGUGGUCGGUUUUCGUUGCUUCGCACGUCAUCCGCAGCGGAGGCUGGACAAGGUCUUCCCGGACUCCAGCGGUCUAACCAUUACCUAGAACAGGUCCAAUGGACCACGCGAAAUCCCACGGUGAAUAACACGCCACAUUACCGCUUGUAUUCCCGAUUGCGCGUUAUCCACCGUAGCAUAUGCUCCGCGAUUUGCCGUGGUCCACUUGGACCUGGUCCAUGCAAUGAUUCCACCGUGGAUAGGGGUCGUGUCUUUCGCGCGACUCCGAUCACCUACCGUUUGAUUUGAGAGGCGUGCAGCGGAUGAAUGGCGGAGUUGCCACGUUUUGAGUGUGAUAGAUGAUCCAACGGUAGAGUCGUGCCAAGAAAGGUAAUCAUUCUUUUGCGCAAAAGAUACAACCCUUGUUGCCCGUACAUUAGCAUGUCCUCCGUCCAAUUCGGAGAAAGUGAGGGCCCUUCUAGGGUUGCCGCUCCAUAAUUCUUGUUCUCCUUCUUCUAGGGUUUCCUCCGCAAAUUCUUUGCUUUCUUCGUAGAGAGAUUGAGAGAUGGUGGGUCACGGGAAUGCAAUCCCACUGGAGGUGGUGGGGACGAUGAUCGAGAUGGCGGACGUCGCGUGGAGCGCCGUCGAGUACCGCCGCGAGCGCAAGGCCGACGCGGCGGAGGACGAGAUCUCCCACCUCAAGGCUGAGAACCUCCGCCUCCGGACCGUGCUCGCAGACAAUGUUGCCGUCCUCCAGAGCAUCUAUAAAUCCCCAUCUGUCUCCAAAGACUGCCCUCCGGACGUGAGCCCUUCUUCACUUCCUUCCCCUCCCUCCUUUUCUUUCCUUCAAAUUAUUGUAGUUAAACCUUCGUGAGGUUUGAGAUGGAAUUUGUGGACAAAAAGACCCAAAAAAGAAGGAAUCUUCAUAGCUACAUGCUUAAUUCCCCCUCAAAAAGAGGUUCUUAUAUUUCCUCCGUUCCCUUUGCCUUCACUUAUAUAGUUUUCAAUGAAUUUGAAAGGAUAUAUGCAACAUGUCGAUAGCUGCGAGCUUAAUUGCCCAAAAGAAUUUUUUUCCCCUUUUCCGUUUGCCUGCAAUUAUGAUUUGGAUGAAAAUUUUAGAGAUUAUGUGCAGUAUAAGAAGAAGAACAGAAAGAAAAUGUUAAAAGAAGAAAUUUGACAGUUAUGAACAUAACAUGCUCAAGAAUUGUGAAGAAAGGUCCGAAGAUUAUGAGGAUUCGGGGGAAAUUUUGACUCUGCAAUUUACUUUCGCGGACCUAAAAAUGAUGUUAUAAAUUGGUAACCUGUCUGUCUAUUGCAGAUAUGGAAAAUAUGAAAUUUCGCAGCAUUCAAAAAAAAAAAAAAUGGAAAUCUUAUAAUUAAUUAUGAAGUGACAAUUGAUUCAAGUUGAUGUGGAGAUGAAUUGUUAUGAUUUUGGGUUAUAUAAAGUGAAUCCAGGUAUAUUCCUUUUAUGCCAUGAUUUUUGGAUCUGCUUCAAUCUGAAAAGGGUUGAGAUCUCUAUUUAGCCGCACCAUUAUUUUGCUCACACUAAUGCCUGCUUUCUUAUGAUUCCUGCUGAUUGUUCAAUCAAAUAGUGACUAUUUCAAUUUCAAAAUAUUGCAUAUAUAUAAUCCAUCCCCAAAAGAUGAAUUUUGGUUAUUUAAUAAUAUCUAUUAUUAUAGGGCAUUUCAACACUAUUAUGUACUCAAGCUUCUCUUAAGAGCCUCUUUUUUCCCACUCUGGCACCUGAAUUUGCUCCUGCAGCUUCCUUUUGGAUUCAAUGACAGUAAGUUAUCAACUUCAUGUGCUUAAUGUUUGAGGUUUUUUUUUUUU